GUUCUAACUUCUUUCUGAGCUUAAAAUAUAUCCAUUAAUCCAAAAAUCCCUUUGACCAACAAUCUUUGAUGAAUGAACACAAAAGCUUCAUAGUUUGAUGAAGAAGCCUUUCUUUCAUACACAACUUAAACAUAAUUCCCAAACAUACAUUUUUUAUAAAAUUGAAAACUUUUUUCUGUAAAACCUAUGGAUUACAGGACAUGAAAAUAUUUAUACAAAUUCAAAGAAAUGCUAUGCACCCGCCUUCAUAAAUGGUGUCAAAGAAGAACACAAAGAAGAAUUGAAAGCCAACAUUUAAUCUCUCUUCUCCCAAUAUUCAGAAUCCAAGUUGACUGGGUAGAGAUCAGGGAUGGAUGAAGAAGCAGUCCAUGGCCCAUCUGGCAUGCUCUGAGCCUUGCUCUCGCUCACGCCCAUGCUCUUUUCUUGGAUGUGGCGAUAAUGCUCCUUCAUCUCCUCGAGCUUUAAGUCAUCACUGGGAGCACUGGGAUCAGAAACGAUGUCCUGAACAGCAGUUCUGCCUUCAAGCAUGCUCACAACUGAUGACAUAGCUGGCCUGACUGCUGAAGAGAUGGUCGUGCACAGGAGAGCUAUGUUGAGCAUUGCCAUGACCUCUUCCUUGUUGAAGUCUGAGCCCAAUCUGGGGUCAACUAUAUCCAUUAAGCUCCCCUUCUCUUUUAAAGAGAGUGCCUAGAAGUUGAGAAAGAAAGAAAAUCCAAUAAGAGAAUUGCUCGUGUUUAACUCAAGCAAUAGGGACUCAGGCUGCAAGACUAUUUGUUUCAACAUAUGCUGAAUGAAGCCAUGGAAAUGCCACAACCACAUUGAAUGAGAUCAAAAUUUGAUAUGUAUGAAUGGAAUAUGCCCAGCUAGCCUGCUACCCAGAAAGAGGCAUGCUAAUAUAGGAGUUUCCUCAGAGUGGUCCAGGCAGGUCCUGGAUGACGUCUUAUUACUAAUACGGUAAUACCACACAAUAUAAUUGAAGUCAUUCAGGAAGAAAGCAUAUACUACCUGCUUCUUCAUUUAAGGUUGAAAAGGUAGCAAUACAUGUAAGUAUUAGUAGUAUUGGGGCAAUUUCGGUUUGUCUGAGCAAAUUUUUGUUCAAGAGAGCCUAUUUGACCCAUAUAGAAUCAUGAACUAGGAAAAUGGUCCAAAGGAUGCCAUGAAUCAGAAUAUAACUUCGGCCCAAGAUAGGAAAAUGUAGUUGCCAUUAUGUGAUGACUAUAUAUUUAUAUAUAUAUAUAUAAUUCAAGAGCCAUGGUUAGGGGUUCAUGAUUUGGAUCCUAUUCACUUCCACUUUGAUCAGGCUGGGAAAGCAGCUAGUCCUUGGUCGGUUCUAGUUAAGUUGCUUCACUCAGCAGAUCUGCUAAAACAGCAGCAUGACCUGCUACUGUUAUGUGGAACUGCCCAUUUCAAAACGAGGUUAAACCAUGUCUUUUGGCUGUAGGAAGUGUUAGACAGAACCAGUGUGAGGGGAUAAAUUUAUACUCUGUGUUCUCAACAGUUUUUACAGCUUCUAGUUUGAACGAUGAAGCCAUCCAUCCUUGAAGAUGCUUCCCGACACAAAUAAAAAACCAUGCUGUUAAAAUUAUGCAAUCAGCCUAAAUGGAUAAGAAUGAGAAAAUUCAGAGACGACAAAUGCAAGAAAGAAUGUUGUCAAAAUUACCCGAUCAAGAAGAUAGAUGGAUUCUUCUUUUGGCCUAUAAGUAGUGUUGCUUCUUCCACUGACAAUUUCCAAGGCAACAACUCCAAAACUGUAAACAUCUGCUUUGUCGGUUAAAUAGCCCCGCAUUGCAUAUUCAGGUGCCAUAUAUCCACUGCAAAAUGAGAGUAUGAUUUUACACAAAUUUUCCUUUUGAAAUGAAGGAUAAACACUGGUGAUCAAAAGCAAAAAAUUCUAGUAUGUGGUUUCCAAAGUGAUAACAGUGUCACUGCUUCCUAUUUGAGCUAAACAGAAAGAUAAAUAAUGAUACAAAAAAUUAUCACAGCCAUAAGAAUUUGGGUUACCUGAAUUCUGAAGCAGUAAGAAACCAUUGACAUCCAUUCAAAAGAAAGGAAAAGCCCAUUAAGUAAAAAUCAGGAGAUAGUGACUCACUAUGUACCAGCAAUCCGAGUGCUAAUGUGGGUGUUAUCCUCUUCAUCAAGUUUGGCCAAACCAAAGUCAGAUAUUUUGGGGUUAAGAUCCUUAUCAAGUAGCACAUUUGUGGCCUUGAUGUCUCGGUGGACGAUCUUCAGCCUUGAUUCUUCAUGAAGAUAAGCCAACCCUCUUGCUAUGCCAACACAGAUCCUGUGUCUAGUUGGCCAAUCCAAUUGUAAUUGACAUUCUUCGGGGCCUAAAUCAUCAUAUCAACCAAAAGUUAGAUGUAAGAAGCACAAUCACACAAGUUCAUAUACAUGUAGUUUUAUAGCAGAAGCAAUUGAGUAAAGCACGUAAGCAGAUGUGAAAAAAAACAGACCAAACAAAGCACGAGCGAGGCUGUUAUUUUCCAUGUACUCGUAUAUCAGCAACAACUGAUUUCCUUCUAUACAACAGCCAUAGAGCUUCACAAGAUGAGGAUGUUGAAGAGCAGAAAUCAUGCCUAUCUCAUUCACAAACUCACGGUUUCCUUGUUUUGAUUUGGAAGAAAGCUGCUUCACUGCAAUUAUGGUGCCAUCGGAUAAGACGCCCUGCAUUUUGAGAAAUAAUGUCCUCUCUUCAGUAUAAAGUUUUAUGAGAACAAACUGCUUACCAAACAUCUUAAAUGCAUAAAAUGAGGGAAAACUAAUUCUUGUGCUGAAUACCUUGUAAACAGAACCAAAUCCACCUUCUCCAAUUUUGUUGGCAGCAUCAAAGUUGUUUGUUGCAGCCUUAAUUUGCCUUAAGGUAAACAAGCCAGUCUGCAGAUCUAGACCCUUUAACUCUGUAGAAGAAGCCAAGUUAGAUAAGAAAUAUAUCUAAUAAAAAGUUGCAAUCAUUUCUAAAUUCCUAAUAGUUUGAGAAGGAUUUUGAUGGAUUAUAACUGUAUCUUCUACAUCCAGAGAAAUCAACCCUGAUUAGAUACCAUGUUUUGGCAUGAAUGCCAGCAAACCAAUCCACUGCUACGACAUCAACAAUCAAAUGUUUUGAUAGACAAAUUUUUUCAUAAUCAAUACCUUGUUCCAACGUAUCUUUGCGCCUUAGGCAAUCUCUCCACCAAAGGAUACCUAUAAGCAGGAAGACAAGAAGAAUGACUCCAGCCACAAUGCCAACCACAACGCCAACAGAUAUACUACUGCUUCCAUUUUCGGUAGGAGGUAUAAAAUCUGCAAGAAAAAACAAAGUUAGAACAGAUACACAGAUGGAAUGGAUGCUUUUGGGCAAAUGAUGGCACAAAGAAAAACAAAAUCCAACCAUUAGUGAUGCUGCAAAAAGAGGCUAACAACAAAAAAUAUUUUAUCAACAUUAAUUCUUCAGAGAGUCGAAGCUAAAUAAACAUGAAAAGAUGCUCGAACUGUUGGAAAAUUUCAGAAGAGCACCACAUACAGAGCAAUGAAAUUUCCUGUAAUAUAAGUAGCAUCCAAAUAUAUAUAGAUAUAUCAAAACAUACUUGUGCUAAACCCUUCAAAAAAUAAUGAAUCAUGUCCAUGUUGGUUCCAAGUGACCUAAAGAAAAGAGGAGUUGUGCAGACUGAACCAAAUCACUUAACUAUAAUAAAUGUGUAAUUUGAGAAAAAGUAGAAGAACAAACCCUUUUACAUCCCAACUAUUCAAAAUUGUUGAACUACUAAUUUUCCUAAAAGCUUAACCUUACCCUCCUUUACUACCCGCAUGUGGAGAGACAAAUAGAAUUUGGAUUCAUAUCCAAUGGACAAAGAUAGACAAAAUUUGGAUUUUUAUUCAACAAACAAAUAAAGGAAAUGCAAAUUGCAGAGAGAAGGAUCAAACCCAGGACCUCCCCCCAAACCAAGCUUUGAAAUCAUGUUCAACUACCAAUUUUCCUAAAAGCUUAAGCUUGUAGGAUUUGGGCUCAAUAUGCAUAUCAUGCUUUUUAAUAAAAAUGAUAAAGAAAAUUCAUAAAACAAGCUCAGAAAAUGUGUGACGUACCAGGGUCCACAGAAAUAGCUGAUAUAAGAGGACCAUAAACUCCUCUAACUGGGAUACCUGUAGUCCCUUUCCCAGCCCAAUAGAAGCGAAUUUCCAAGGUAUUAUUAGUCACAACUGCAGUAAAAUAUUUUAAGAUUUCCUUGCUAACACCUCCUGCUUCAUCCUCAAUAUUGAAAUCCUUGAGAACCAACUUAUCCUGCAACAAACCACUCCAAUUACAACUGAAAUUUUCAAGGUGCUAUAAAUUGAAAUGGUGUCCCAAGAUUUCUCUAAAACUUUGUGCAAAAAAGUUGAAUUUUUAUAUAGGUUAAAGUCAAGAACUCAAAAUGGCUUGAAUCCAAAAUGCUAAAGUUUCUUGUACUUUUUAAAAUUAGAACUUUGGUUGGUGAACAUGGAAGUAAUGUGAUUCAUUACCUGAACAUAAACAUCAAACAAACGCCUACCAAGGCUGCUAUAUGUUUUGUCAUCAGUAAAGGUGAUCUCUGCAAAGUGAAGCUUUACUGUGUAGUUUCCAUUUUCCAGACAGAAUCCAUAAUAAGUGAGAGACAGGGCAGAGAGGCGUGCGGUUGUAUACAGUCCAGAAUUUUCCAUGAUGAGUCUAGACACGUUUGUCCCAAUAAAGGAGUCCGUAGGGCGGUCAUCGUCCAUGAAGUGACCUGUGCUGCUGAAUGCCCAGUUUGUUCUACUCUGAUAGAACUUUGAUGGUCCACCAGAAUCUGUGUCAUCUUCAUAUGUGGUAUUUCCAUCAACAAUUACUUCUUUUCCACCACAAUUUAUGUGCAUGGAGUAAAACUCUGGAAAAAAAACCUACAAUAGAUUGGUGAAAUUGAACAAGAAAAGAAAAAGGAUAUUUAGAAAAAGGCACAAGAAAAUACAUCCAUUAACCACCCUUCCCGAACUUUUACUUUAAUCAGCAAACUUGUGACACUGUUUUGGACUGUAUACCAAUCCAUUUUUAAUAGACCAUGUGAUCCAAUGGAAAGAUUUCAACCCCAAAUGCAUUAGCAGUACCCUAAAUGCACAGGGCAAAGCACAAGAAAGGAGAAUGCCUAUCUUGAAGAGAUUUUGAGACACGGUGUGCUGAAAUGUGGGUCGUCUACAAAGCUGGUCUGAUCAGUGUUUUAUCAACACUAGAAGCACAAAUUUUGAGUUGAAGAUUAAUCAGACUCAUCUCAAGUUAUGGAAAGUGAAAUUGAUGACAUUCUAAAAUCCAUUUAUAUUCUUCCAUUAAUUUCAUUCUUUUGUAUUUCUUAAUUAACAAUGUCAAGAUAGCAUAUGAUAUUUAAACUUACUUUUUGGGCAAUUAAAGCUUCUCAAGCACGAGACAAUUCCACUGAGAAAACAACGUAAUGCCCAGCAAAAGUCAGCAUCACAACAUCAUAUUUGAAUAUUACAUGACAAGGAAAGAAUCGUAGUGCUGAAAAAAAUUAUUGGCUUCAGAAAACAUUUAUUUAUUACAAUCCUUAAAAUGGUAAUUAGAAACUCACGAGUUAUUUCCUCCUGAUGAGCUUCCAAACAAAUUUCUGUAGAAAAUAUCACAAUAUUGAAAGUUUAGAUGCUAAACAGAUGAUUUUACACAGCAAAUAAUACAGAAAAGAAAUAUCUUAUGUUAGAUAAGAGUAUUCUUACACACUCCGUUCUUGACAUCCUCUUGAGCUUUCACUAGUAAAGUUAUUGUAUGAAAGAUCACUGCACACAGUAUUCACAGUUUAAUUCAUCAUAGUUUUCCAUGCAGAAUGAACAUCAAGUUAAUAAAUCAUGACUUCACAUGAACAGAAUUGCAUAUAGUAUUUGAUUAUCUGAACCUUAUUUCUAAAUAACCCAAGAGAUGAAGUGUCUUGUGCCAUUAGCCAUGCAACACACAACCAAUAGCUCAGUUGUUCCUUUAGGAGUGGUCCUAAACCACUUUGAGCUAUAGUGCAAAGAACUAUUCCCCCAAGCCUAAAAUACUCUACAAUCCAUCUAUCCAUCCUCACAUAUCACCCUCUUUUUUGUCUAGAAUCCAAGUUAUAUGCAAAAGGGAGCGGAAAUACGACUUAUUGCUUUUGGUGGCAAGAGUUUUCAAUGUGCAACAGCUGUUUGUGUAAAGGAAUGAGGAAAUCGUGUUUUGCAUGAAAAAUUCUGUAGUAUGUCUUCGUACAAAGCAUGAACAGUUUUAAUCAGAUUCCUUAAUAGCACAGAAUAAAAGAACAAUUAUCUCUUCCAAAUUUUAGAACUAACAGAAUGUUUGCUACCCAAAUAUUUGAAAUAUUAAUCGAUAAUCAGAAUUCAUGGCGAAACAUAGAAUCAACAUUCAAAGCCAAAUUUAUUUGCUGUAAGGAUGCAAGUGUAUGCCCAUUAAAACUAAUAAAAAAAAAUAGAAGCAAGAAAGUAAUAAAAGCAAAUUGAUAGUUAACAUGUGAUGAGUAGAAACAAACAAACAUAGCCACAACAAUAUAUAAAGCAUUUGAGAAAAAAAUUUACUAGUUGUCUCCUCUUUUCAGCAUCCAAUCAGGCACGGCUCCAGUUAGCAUGUUUCCGGUAAAAUACCUACAUAACAUUGAGUUGUCCAACUUUAGUAUUGCUCAAGUAGUUUUCUUCACUAGAGUAACAUCUGAAGCAUGAUAGGAAAAACUUACUAGUAAUUCCCCCUUCAAGGACCAAAAUUAGUUUUCAAUCAAUCAGAAUGAAUUCAUCUGUCAAUUGGCUCUUUAUUCAGAAGGCUUUUAAAGCCAACAUAUGUGAUUUAGUCACUCAAUCAAUUUGAUCCUAGGCUCUAAAAUCUCCUGGUUCAUUUAGGCAAUUAACUUGGUCUUUUAGAUUAACCUUUACUUGUAGCACAUUGGACUUCUUUCUUCAUUUAGACCAUUAAACUCAUCUUUCAGAUUCAGUACUGAAGCCCAACCAAUGUGGUUUAGUCUUAAAAUCAAUUCAACUCCACAUCCUCUAAGCUUUCUUGGUUCAUUUAGGCCAUUAUAUUGGUUUUUCAUUUCAAUCUGUUGAUUAUUAGGUAAUUUCACCCCUUGGAAUCAGCUUGAAUAGUUGUCAAAACCUAAAGAAGAAAUUUUUAUAUGAAAAUACACUGCUUACAUGUAAUCUGCAUUUGAUAGACCGACAAAGCUGCUUGGAAUUUCUCCAGUUAGUUUGUUAAAACUCAGAUCUCUGCAAGAGAAUCAUAAACAGAAUGCAUUAAAAAUUGCUCUACCCCGAAAGAGUCGAACACCUGAGAAUGGAAAAACAAUACCAAGAAACCGAAAUGACAUGCUGAAAUGAAUAAAUAUGAAGUUUAUGGAAUUGUGUAUGCAUCAUAACAAUUUCUUAAUAAGGCAAAUGAUACAAAGUAGGAGCUAUGUCUCAAGCUCCUUCCACCACAUAACCGUUUAUGAUUAGCACUUGUCACUGGAUACUGGCAGCUUAUACAUUGACCAUCUGUUUUUCUUCUUGGCUCAAAAUACUACUCUAGAUGCAUUUCAGAUGGUCUAAAUUAUCUGCGAGUAAAGAUUCCCUUUCCACAUUUUGUCCGAUUAAGAAUCUAGAUCCCAGAAAUUAUGACAACUAAACUCAUAAAGCCAUCCACUUCAGAGAGACAAAAUGGCUAUUUAUCAAUUUUUACUUGAUACGUCAUGAAACAUACAUGCUGAAUAGGCAGGUGCAAAUAGCAAUGUGUGAGCCCAUGCAACAAGCAGGCUCCUACUUAGCAGUGAAUAUGACACUCAAAGAAGCAUUUAUGAAGUUAUAGAAAAGCCAGACUACUAGGAGCCUUCUCGACAUGUCUCCAGGGUCUUAUUUUCUAUCUAUUCAUACAAACAAUGCAAGCUGUAAGCAGCUUAUUCAAAAUCCAAAUUAGUCAAAACACAGAGAUGCGGUGACCACUCAAGGAACAUCACAAGCUAUGCAAGAAGUCAUAACAUGAAACAAUCUCUGAAUUAGUAGAAAAACACGUUUCAAAGAAUCUUAACAAUUAGUCUGCAACAGGUAAAGGGGAAAAGAUACUAAAUAUAUACUGACAGGGUUUUCAAUUUUGUCAUUUCCCCAAGGUAAUCAGGUAGCGGGUCAACAAUAUUGCAACUCCUCAAUAUCCUGCAAUCAAAUCAAAUAUAUAUCACCAAAAAUCUCGAAAAUAUGUUCUAUGUACUGUGUAUUAUCAAGGGCAAUCUACUCACAGUGUUUUCAAGUCUCUCAUAUCACUCAAUGGUGGAAAAGUUGCUUCAGUUCCAUUCAGGUCACUGAUUCUCCUGAACAUAGAAAUUUAAUAAAAAAUAAAAAUAUAAUAAUUUCAAUCCAUAUAAAUUAUCAAAGCUAUGGCAUAGGAGAGCUUUACUCACAAGUCAGUUAUUUUUGUCAAAAGGGCAAUGCCAGAAGGAAUCGGCCCACUGAAACCACUCCCUUGAAUCACUCUGUCGGUAGCAAAUUUCAAUUAGAAUAUGUGAUUAUAAAUGAAAUCAUGCCACUCAUACCAACUCAAACAUCAGAUUCAACAAAGCUCUCACAAUUUUUCAAGUUUUGUCCAGUUCUGUAUAAAAUUGGGUAUCUUUCCUGUGAACUGAUUAUCUCCAACCCGACUGCAUUGAAUUAAAACAAAGAUACAAUAGCCCCAAUCUCAGAAUUCAACCAAAAAAAGAUGCUAAUUUAUGCAUACAAAAACCCGAAAAAAGAAAAGACACUUCAAAAUCUUACAAGUCCUUCAAUGUGGUAAGCCCUGCAAAUGUUUGUGGUAACUCCCCAGUGAAGUUGUUUGAGGUAAGAAGUCUUCAACAACGAAAAACACAACCAAACCAAUAAACCCACCAGCGUUAAUAAUAAAAAAAAACGGUAACACCCAUAAUUGGCAAAAUCUACAAACAAAAGGGUCUUACAUUCUCUCUAUACUGGGCAGAUUCCCAAGCUCCUGAGGAAGAACCCCUGAAAGCUGAUUGAACUCCACGGUUCUACGCAUAUCAAAUCCAAAAUUUUUGCAUCAAAAAAAUAAUUCUUAAAAGAUCACACACUGAAAAGGGAAACAAAUGGGUAAUUAGAAAUUCACAGGUUUGCAAGAGUAGAGAUGUUUCCAAGCUCUUUGGGAAUCGAACCCGUUAAUUGGUUUCCGAUCAGAGAACUGCAACAACACCCACAUACCAAAUUAAAAAAAAAUAAAAAAUGAACUGCUUAAAGGUUCAUAUUGAAUAAGCCAUCAAAAUUUCAACCAUAUAUACAUAGAUGGAGAGAAAGCAUACAUGUUUACUAGUUGCAUUGUACCCCAUUCUGGAGGGAUUGAACCGUUGAGGUAGUUGCGGGUGAAGUCACUGUGACGGAGAUGAAUUACAGUUAAGUUAGUUGAAGUCCUAAAUGGGUAAUUGAAGAAAUGGGUGAUGCCAAAAUUGGCAGAAAAAUUAAGUUAGAGAAAUACUCACAUUUCUUGGAGGUAAGGAAGCUUCACCAGCUCUGGUGGGAGAGAUCCCGGGAGAUUCUGAGUCUUGAGGACUCUACAAAGGAUAAAUACUCACGUUAACGGUUAUUAAUUAACUUAUGAUUGAUUUGUAUAUUUUUUAAUUAUUUUUCAAAUAUUCUAUAAAGAAAAAAAAAUUAGACUAGGUUGUUCCUUACAAAUUUUAAGGAAUAAUACAAGAAAAAGUACAAGAAAUAAAAUUUGGAAGAAAAUAAAAAAUUAAUUUAAAAUUAAUAAAUUAUUUUUAUAUAUUACUUCAAAUUUAUUAAGAUAUUUUACCUCUUUUAUAUAAAAGUUAAAUAAUUUUAAAAUAUAUAAAUUUUUAAUUAAUUUUAGUUAUAUUUAAAUUUUUUUAUACUUUUCAUAAAAAACUAAAUAUAAAAAAUAAAUUUUUUUUUGCAUUUAUUUUCUUUCCUUAGCAUUUUUCUCAUACCAAAUACAUUAAUAUUAACGCAUCUUUAUAUUUUUAAAAAUUAAAAACUAUUUUCAAAUAGAUUCUAAAAUUUUAACUUAGUAGAAAGCUUAACUUGAUCCAAAUACAAUUCAAGAAACUAGAUUCAUGGGGUGUUAUUGUUGUGCAUUUGUAUCGGUGUCAAAACGACCCAAUUUUUGGCUCUGGUGCCAAAGCAUUCCAGAGUGGCCUCCUCAGGAUUCGAACUCAAAACCAAGGCCCUUGUGAUUGCCCUCCUGGUACCAUCUAAGCCAAAAAUUGGGUCGUUUUAGCAUCGAUACAAAUGAGUCAAAAAUCGGGUUGCUUUGACACCGAUACAAAUGCACAACAAAAAGGUUAGCCUUUUUUUGCAACAUUUGGGUGUUGCCACCAUUUGUAUUGGUGCCAAAGUGACCCAGAGUGGCCUCCCUAGGAUUCAAACUCAAAACCAAGGCCUUUGUAGUUGCCCUAAUAAGUUAUGUAUACAUUUUUAAGUUUUAUUAUUUAUAUUAUAAUUUUAUAUGUUUAUAUUUAAAUUUCAUUAUAUCUCACUAUACAUAUUCAAUGGCCUUGAUUUAGACCAGGAUACGUAUAGCUUUGCAUUUCCCGUCCGUAUAUAUCCCCAAGGGCCCAACCUCACUUGGCUGCCGACAUAAAAAAGGUGGGCCCAUUGGACCUCAGUUCCUAAUUGGGCCGCCCACAUGAUAAGAUUCUCCUUUCGAGUUUCGUCCUAAGGCUCCUAAGUCCUAACAUCCCAGAAUGGGAUCAGUCUGAAAUUAUUGGACCUGAAGGCCAAUUUAGAAGUCAAAGUCAACACAACAAAUUGGGCCCACCCACCUAACUCAUUAUUAUAAAUAUAUAAAAUUAUAUUAUGGAAAAAUAAAAUAAAAGAGUACUUAAUAUAAUAAAUCCUUAUGAUAUUCAAAUGUCAAUAUUAAAAUGAAAUUUAUUUAUUCACUAAAUAUGGUCAUUGAUAUUACAACCUUCUUUUUAUAUAAGUUAGGUAAAUUAGGGUGGAGAGUGGAAGCCAACUAUUCCAUAUAAAGUCCUUCAAUAAAAUAUUUCACAUUAAUUUAUUUUCACAUAUAACAUAUUCUAAAAUAAUUGGAAUGUGUUUUGGUAUUAAAAAAAAUGAAAAUAGUAUGAACCAAAAAAUACAUAAAUUAUAUUACAUUAAAGUUAUAUUUGUUUCCCAUAAAAUACUAAGAAAAAAAAAGAGAAUCAAAAUGGUUUUUUAUAUUUGAUUUAACCAUAAAAAAUAUAAAUAAAUAAAUAAAUAUAAUUAAAAUUUAUCAAAAUUUUAUAUAUUUUUAAAUUAUCUAGUUUACAUAUAAUAAAAAGAAAUAAAUAAAAUGAGUUUAAAGAAGUAUGUAAAAAUAAUUUAUUAAAUUAAAAAAAAAAUCUUAACUUUUUAUUUCCUUUUACUUUUUUUCUCAAUUUUGUUUCCUCAAAUUUUUUAAGAACCAAAUAUAGGCUAAAACUUUUGUUUUUUAUUUGAAGUUUUAAUAAACUUUGAAAUAUUUUAUUUCUAUUUUUUGAGUUAUAUGGUUCAAAAUUUAUACAAAUUCAGACGUAUUUAGAUUUCAAAUUGAAAAUAAAAACUUUAUUCAUAAUCCGAUGAUUAUUGUUUGUUUUCUUAAUUGAAUUGUAAUUAAACUGACUCAAUCCUUUUAGUAACUAAAAAAAAUUGAGCAAAUAAAUAGAAGUUUAAUUAACUUACAUGCUAACAACGUGGCAAACAGUGUUGUUGGUGCAGCUACAAGUGACAGCAUUUUCCGACCCCUUCACCGGAUUCUUCGUCGCCCAACCCCACUCGCCGCCGCACGGAUCCGCACUGAAGUUCCAGUCCGUCUUCCCCAGAGUUUUCGCGAUCUCUUCCAGAGCUUCCACUGUAAAGUGUAAUAAUAAUAAGAUUGAUUUUUGAGAGUGUAUAUAUAUAUAGAACUAUGAAAAAUGAGGUAGAAUGAAUGGUAGUAUCACCUUCAUUAUUUGGGAGGAGAGUUGCAGAGAAGGUGAGAGUUGUGAAGAAAGCGAAGGCAAUGAGUAAAGAAGAGAGAAGGCUGUUAAUGGAGGGCAUGGUUUUAGGGUUGUUGCAGAGGAGGAGGGCUUGGGGUUUGGAGGAGCACUAGAUGAUGGAUGAAGAGUGAAUGCAUGAUUUGUGGUAGAGGGUCUUUAUCGUGCACGGGAGGAGAGAGAAAAAGAGAAGACUCAGGGCGAAGACUUCGAUACAUCGUUAUAUCGUACCGUACCAUGGUUAUAUCCGUACCAUGGUUAAUGAUUUUACAUUUGAUUAAUCAAAAAGCUUUUUUUUUUCCGCAAGAUAAAGUUUUUCAAAAAAUAAAUAUUUAAAACUUUUUUCAAAUUCAUAUUUAUACUGAAACAAAAACAUAAGUUCAAUGUCUUGAAAUUUUUAUAUGUGAACUUAUAUAAUCAAUAUGAUAAUAUCAUAAAUUAAUGUUAUUUUAUUUUUUGCAUUGUGAUUCAUAAUGUAGUUGAAUGCAUUAUUACUUGAUUUUUUAUGGAUUCAUCUUAAUUCACUUGACUGACUCAUCAUUAAGUCAAGUGAUCUAAAUUUUAUGUGUGUAAUGUGGUAUAUAUGAAUAUAUUUAUUUAUAUAUAUACAUAAAGGAAAAAGAAAGACUUUUGCUCUGUUUUGUUUUUCUCUUGAGGGCUGAAAGGGCACGUACUGCGAACUCGAGCACACACACGGACUGAAUUUUGGUGUAGAAAGGGAAGAGCUCAUUGAACCUGGAUUUUCACACCAUUAUGAACUGAGCGUAUUAUUUGAUACCAGUGGAACACAAAAAUGACUUUUCAUGUGAUUAAUCAAGGUAAACAUUUCAUCAAUUGCCUUUUUACUGUAUGCUUUAAUGUCAACAUGUGAUAUAUCGUUAUAUUGUACCGUAACCAUGGUUAUAUCGUAUUGUACCAUGGUUAAUGAUUUUACAUUUGAUUAAUCAAAAAGCAUUUUUUCCCCCAAAUUUUAAAGAUAAAGGUUUUAAAAAAAAAAAAAAUUUUAAAAACUUUUUUCAAUUCCACAAGUAUGUCUAGACUUCCAUAUUUAUACUAAAACAAAAACACAAUUUAUUUUCUAUCUUAUCAAGGGUGAUCAAUAUAUAUAUAUAUAUAAACACACGAUAUUUAGUAUAUUCUUUUUAUUUUAAAAUUUUAUAAUUAAUUAUAGUAAUAAAAACUGAUAAAAAGAUAAAAUUUAAUAAUUGUUGGAGACAUUAUCAUUUCAUAUUCUUCAAUUAUUUUACCUUCUAAAGUUAAACCCACUAACAUGAACAGCUCAAUUCAUUUAUAUAUUUCUUGGAUUCACCACUGAAAAUACCCCAAAAAAAAAAAAAAAAAUUCACAAGACAACGGAUUUACAGGCCAUGGAUUGCUGGUGACAGCUCAAGUUUGCUUCAUAGUCAACUCAAUACAAUUUUAUUUUAUUUUUCAAUAUAAUAUGGCCAUGUGGUGAAUAUCCUAUGCAGCAAGAAGUUGGUUCUCAUUUUCUAAGACUUUCUCACCAGCCAAACAUUGUGUAAUAUCAAAGGUAUGAAUAAAAAGAAUUUUCUUCUUUCUGAGUUUUUUUUAAAUCCAAGUUGAGGAAGUUGACUUGGGGAAUAAUACCAAGUUGCAAUGCCGUAGCAAAGAAGAUAACAAUUUUGAAAUUAUCGUCUCCUUCAAGUCUUUGUCACCACCAAACCUAUGGAUUUUCAGAUAAAGUUCUGUACUUAUUGAUUAAGUUAAGUCAUGUUGACAAAUUAGUGGUCAUCAAGUACAAGUUCCUUACACUUUCAUAUAGGUUUGUACUUUUUUUUUCUUUCUAAUAAUUAAAAUUAAUUUUUGGAUCAUGGGAAAUUAAAUGGAGGAAAAGGACCAAAAGGCCAAAAAUAAUUUAAAUUUUUUUAUUUAAUUUAUUGUUAAAAAUAUGAAAAAAAAAUCAAAUAAAAUAAUAAAUAGUUAUAUUUUCAAGUACUACAUUUAAAAAGUAUAUGAAAACUUUAAUUUUAUCAUAAGAAAAUGUUAUUUAUUUUAAUUUUUAAGGUGGUAUUUAUAUAUUAGGAAAUCUUUUUCCUUUUUUCUUUUUAAUAAUAUUUAAAACAAGUCCUCUAAAAUCUAGAUUUUUUUCUUUCAUAAAAUUGGAGUGGGUGUAUAAUAUCAUCUUUCCAUGAAAAGGGAUUCAAAGAAGGUGUGUGAACUUUUGUAUUUUAGCUUAAUAGAAUGAAGCAGCCACCCUUUGUUGACGAAGCUAAAUCUUUCUAUUGUAGGCUUCUAGCUAUACAUUAAAAUAUAUAUAUACAUAUAUAAAAGAGAAAAAGUAAUCAAGGGUAAAAAAUGUGUUUAAAAAAUAUUUUUUUUAUUUAAUCAAUUAUAUUACAUUAAAUAUUAAUAUAAUGUAAUAUAUUUAACUAUAUGUUAUAUAAUUAUAAGCUGUUGUGGCUCACUCGGAAGUUUAUGAUAGACUUAUUUACUUAAUAUGACUUAAUAGUUUAAUUUAAAUUAUUAAAUAUAUUAAGUAUAUUAGAAUAAUAGUUUGAUAUCUCCUUCUAACUUGUUUUCAAACUAAGAAACAUAUCCAUUAAUCCAAAAGUCUCUUUGACGAACAAUCUUCAAUGCUUUUAUACAUUUAUAAUACCUGAGGUGUUGUCUAAAUAUAAUUUUACUGAAAAUUAUGACUUUGACUUUAUCUUCGAUUAAAAAACUAUCUCAACUAGGUUAAGAAAAGAGCAUCAAAGCCACAAAAUCUGUAGAGAAACUAAAGAUGCCAAAAACCGAUAAAUGAGCACAAAUGCUUCAUAGAUUGAUGAACAAGCCUUUCUUUCAUACACAACUCAGAAACAUAUAUCCCAAACAUACAUCUUUGAUAAAAUUGAUAACUUUUUUCUGUAAAACCGUAUGGAUUACAGGACAUGAAAAUAUUUACAAAUUCAAAGAAAUACUAUCCACCCACCUACAUAAAUGGUGUCAAAGAAGAACAUAAAGAAGAAUUGAAAACCAACAUUUAAUCUCUGUUCUCCCAAUAUUCAAAAUCCAAGGUGACUGGGUAGAGAUCAGGGAUGGAUAAAGAAGCAGUCCAUGGCCUGUCUGGCAUGCUCUCGCUCACACCCAUGAUCUUUUCUUGGGUGUAGUAAUAAUGCUCCUUCAUCUCCUCGAGCUUUAAGUCAUCACUAGGAACACUGGGAUCAGAAACAAUGUCCUGAACAGUGGUUCUGCCUUCAAGCAUGCUCACAACUGAUGACAUAGCUGGCCUGACUGCUGGAGAGACCUUUGUGCUCAAGAGAGCUAUGUUGAUCAUCGCCAAGACCUCUUCCUUGUUGAAGUCUGAGCCCAAUCUGGGGUCAACUAGAUCCAUCAAAUUCCCCUCCCCUUUUAAUGAGAGUGCCUAGAAAUUAAGAAAGAAAAAGAGAGCUUGUGUUUAAAUCAAGCCAUAUGGACUCAGGUGGUAAGACUCUAUUUGUUUCAACAUAUGCUGAAUGAAGCCAUGGAAAUGUCACAACCACAUUGAAUGAGUUUAAUAUUUGGUAUGUGAUGAAUGGAAUGUGCCCAGCUAGCCUGCUACCCAGAAAGAGGCAUGCUAAUAUAGGGGUUUGCUCACAGUGAUCAAGGAAGGUCCCAAUGACGUCUUAUUGCUAAUACAGUAAUAUCACACAAUUUGUAUAAUUGAAGUCAUUCAGGAUGGGAGCAUAUACUACCUGCUUCUUCGUUUAAGGUUGAAAAGGAAGCAAUGCAUGUAAGUAUUAGUAGUAUUGGGGCAAUUUCGAUUUGUCUGAGAAAAUUUUUGAUCAAGAGAGUCUAUUUGAUUCAUAUAGCAUCAUGAACUAGGAAAAUGGUCCAAGGGAUGCCAUGAAUCAGAAUAUAACUUCAGCCCAAGAUAGGAAAAUGUAGUUGCCAUGAUGUGGUGACUAUAUUUUUAUAUAUAUAAUUCAAGAGCCAUGGUUAGGGAUUCAUGAUUCGGAUCCUAUUCACUUCCACAUUGAUCAGGCUGGGAAAGCAGCCAGUCCUUGGUCGGUUCUAGUUAAGUUGCUUUACUCAACAGAUUGGCAAAAACAGCAGCAUGACCCGCGACUGUUAUGUGGAACUGCCCAUUUCAAAAUGAGGUUAAAGCAUGUCUUUUGGCUAUAGGAAGUGUUAGACAGAACUAGUGUGAGGGGAUAAAUUUAUUCUCUGGGUUCUCAACAGGUUUUACAGCUUGUAGUUUGAAUGAUGAAGCCAUUCAUCCUUGACGAUGCUUCCCGACACAAAUAACAAAUCAUGCUGUUAAGAAUGAGAAAAUUCAGAGAUGACAUAUGCAAGAAAGAAUGUUGUCGAAAUUACCCAAUCAAGAAGAUAGAUGCAUUCCUCUUUUGGCCUAUAAGUAGUGUUUCUUCUUCCACUGACAAUUUCCAAGGCAACAAUUCCAAAACUGUAAACAUCUGCUUUGUCAGUUAAAUAGCCCCGAAAUGCAUAUUCAGGUGCCAUAUAUCCACAGCAAAAUGAGGGUAUGAUUUUACACAAAUUUUCCAUUUGCAUGAAGGAUCAACACUGGUGAUCAAAAGCAAAAAUUUCUAGGAUGUGGUUUCCAAAGUGAUAUCAGUAUCACUGCUUCCUAUUUGAGCUAAACGGAAAGAUAAAUAAUGAUACUGAAAUUAUCACAGCCAUAAAGAUCUGGAUUACCUGAAUUCUGAAAGAGUAAGAAACCAUUGACAUCCAUUCAAAAGAAAGAAAAAGCCCAUUAACUAAAAAUCAGGAGACAGUGACUCACAAUGCACCAGCAUUCCGGGUGCUAAUGUGGGUGUUAUCCUCUUCAUCAAGUUUGGCCAAACCAAAGUCAGAUAUUUUGGGGUUAAGAUUCUUAUCAAGCAGCACAUUUGUGGCCUUGAUGUCUAGGUGGAUGAUCUUCAGCCUUGAUUCUUCAUGAAGAUAAGCCAACACUCUUGCUAUGCCAACACAGAUCCUGUGCCUAGUUGGCCAAUCCAAUUGUAAUUGACAUUCUUCGGGGCCUAAAUCAUCAUAUCAACCAAAAGUUAGAUGUAAGAAGCACUCAAAUCACACAAGUUCAUAUACAUGUAGUUUUAUAGCAGAAGCAAUUGAGCAAGGCACGUAAGCAGAUGUGAAAAAAACAGACCAAACAAAGCACGAGCGAGGCUGUUAUUCUCCAUUUACUCAUAUAUCAGCAACAACUGAUUUCCUUCUAUACAACAGCCAUAGAGCUUCACAAGAUGAGGAUGUUGAAGAGCAGAAAUCAUGCCUAUCUCAUUCACAAACUCACGGUUUCCUUGUUUUGACUUGGAAGAAAGCUGCUUCACUGCAAUUACGGUGCCAUCCGAUAAGAGGCCCUGCAUUUGAGAAAUAGUGUCUUCACUUCAGUAUAAAGUUUUAUGAUAACAAACUGCUUAAUGAACAGCUUAAAUGCAUAAAAUGAGGGAAAACUAAUUAUUGUGCUGAAUACCUUGUAAAUAGAACCAAAUCCAACUUCUCCAAUUUUGUUGGCAGCAUCCAAGUUGUUUGUGGCAGCCUUAAUUUGCCUUAGGGUAAACAAACCAGUGUGCUGAUCUAGACCCUUUAAAUCUGUAGAAGAAGCCAAGUUAGAUAAGAAAUAUAUCUAAAAAAAACUUGCAAUUAUUUCUACAUUCCUAAUAGUUUUAGAAGGAUUUUGAUGGAUUAUAACUGUAUCUUCUGUAGGGACCCCUCCCCCUGAUGACACGUGGCACAUACUUCCUGGUGACACAUGACACGUAUUCUCAUCCGGAUUACCCAAUCCGGAUUUCCCCAAGAGUACAUGUGGCGCGCUUCUCCUAUCCGGACUUCCUCAUGGUGAAGCACACGACACUCGCAAAUAUCACAUCCGGACGACUGACAUAUCCUAUCCGGGUAUGUUUGUCCGGAUCAUUGACUGAAGUAAGCAAGUCUUGCACGUCUUCACAACAGCCUGCCAUGACCCACGUUCCGCUACCUGCAGAGUGAAAGGACAAGAAUGAAGUGACGGCAAGUCACUUCCCAUGAUCUAUGACAGCCGCCGCGCUUCCCACAAUCUCUGUCAGCCGCUCGUAGGGUGAUGAUGGUCUUGCCACCACCUAGUGGCAUCAUGAUAAGCCAAAAUAUCUCUCUACCAUUAAAGAGGGAAACAAAGCUUCUGGUACUAUAUGUAUGAACCUUCACAUAAAAAGAAAGGUAAGCUUGCGAUACUUAGUAAAAGACCAACUGGUUUAUCUUUCUUUCCAUGGCUGACAAAACCGUCGGAGGGUGUGUCCGGACACCCUGUCCGGACGCCUUUUGCAGGAACGACUGAACCAGGAACUUAUAUUGGUUGAGAUCGUGCGUCCGUCCAUUUGGCAACUACGUGGAUCACCAGGGACGUGAGGCCUCAACAUCUUCUACAUCCAGAGAAAUCAACCCUGAUCAGAUACCAUGUUUUAGCAUGAAUGCCAGCAACCCAAUCCAUUGCUACAACAUCAACAAUGAAAUGUUUUGAUAUACAACAUUUUUCAUAAUCAAUACCUUGUUCCAAUGUAUCUUUGCGCCUUAGGCAGCCUCUCCACCAAAGGAUACCGAUAACCAGGAAGAUAAGAAGAAUGACUCCAGCCACAAUGCCAACCACAACGCUCACAGAUAUACUAGUACUGCCAUUUCUGGAAGGAGGUAUAAAAUCUGCAAUAAGAAAACAGGGUUAGAACAGAUACGCAGAUGGAAUGGAAGCUUUUAGGCAAAUGAUGGCACAAAGAAAAACAAAAUCGAACCAUUAGUAAUGCUGCAACAAGAGACUAAUCACAAAAAAUAUUUUAUCAACAUUAUUCUUCAGAGUCAAAGUCAAAUAAACAUGAAAAGAUGCUCAAACUGUUGGCAAAUUUCAGAAGAGCAACACAUAAAGAGCGAUGAAAUUUCCAAUGAUAUAGGUAGCAUCAAAGAAGAAUCAUUUGAGAUUCCAUAUAUAUUAAAACAGAGUUGUGCCAAACCCUUCAAAAAAUAAUGAAUCAUGUCCAUGUUGGUUCCAAGUGCCCUAAAGAAAAGAGGAGUUGCGCAGACUGAACCAAGUCACUAAACUAAAAAAAUGUGUAAUUUGAGAAGUAGAAGAACAAUACCCUUUUGCAUACCAACUAUUCAAAAUUGUUGAACUACCAAUUUUCCUAAAUGUUUAAGCUUAAGCUCCCUCAUGUGUGGUCCCAUGCCCACAGGUGGAGGAACAAACAAAAUCUGGAUUCAUAUCCCAAUAGACAAAGAUAGACAAAAUUUGGAUUCAAACAAACAAAGGAAAUGCAAUCUGAUACUCUAAUUAUUAAAAAGCUACUAAAAAAACAUAGACAACAAUAAUGAAUAAAAAGUAAAAGUAGUUCGGAGUUAUUACCAUUUAAUGAUAUUUAUAUAAGUAAUAAUUUGAGUUUAAUAAAUAUUAUUUUUACGUUAGAAUACAUGAAAUUCGAAUGAUUUUUUUAGAGGGUUUUUUUAUUAUUAUUAUUAUUUAAAAGUGUGGACUAAACAUGCUAUUUCCAUAAAAUAUAAAUGGGUUUUCUUUGAAAAGGAUUUAUUCUUUCAAAGUGAAAAUUAGUUUGCAUUUUGUGAGAAAUAUUCCUUGAAAAUGCCUAUAAAUCCAUUCACUCCACACUGAACCAGGUAUUGCACGCACCACGAGGAACCAAGAACCAUACCAACACACAAAUCAUAGAGAGGAGGAACCAAUACACAACUCAUGGAGAGAGAGAGAGAGAGAGAGAGAGGAUUUACCUCUGCAAAGCACAGCCCUGGGGCUGCCAUCUGAACUUGAGAUGCAAAUCAUCCAUACGCACAUUCCUCUGGCAAUUGAACUCCCUCUCUAUGAAUGGGCAUUCCUCCGCCUUGUACAGAGGAUAUGUCUCAUCCCUAACCCAUAUCCCUUGAAAAAAAUCACACUUCUCCCCACUCCCAACCGCAUUUCCAAUACAGACAACAACAACAACAAAAAUGAACAAAACACCCUGAACCCAUGAACCCAUUUCUCAAUCUCAAGCUCCCCAAGAGAGAGAAACAGAGAUGGGUUUUGUGUGGAAUUCUACUCUAGUAAAGACCCAUUUCCCAUGUCUCAAGAUUUCUAUUUAAUAUAUAGACAAAAGAAGGAGGAUGUAGAAAGAGAGUAAUGUUUCAUUGUGGGUAAAUGAGGAAGUGAUUUGUCUCUGUUUUUCAAAAUAGGAAAGGAGAACUUUGGGUGUGUUGUCAUGUAUGGUCACAAUGGUGUGAUAAUAUAUUAAUAUGUACAGGAGAUGCCCUGGAUAAUAAGGUAUCAUGUGGACUUUUGACCAAAACUCAGCCAAUGAGAGGCCCUUGGUUGGUUUGGUUUUCUCCAUGGGAUAACUACUUUUUCUUUCUUUUUUCAUUUUUGGAUUUCUUAAAUUUUUUAAUUCACGUAACUAUGAGUCCUUCGAUAGUGUCAAAUUGAUACCUACCAAAAAUUAAACCAAUCUUAAUAUACCACUUUUAUAAUUUUAUCUCAGAAUUUUGUAAUUCACUUACAUUUCGUUUAUUUGUAAUCAGUCUCAUACUCAUUUGCUCCAUUAAUGGCUUCUAGGUCCAUGCUUGUCUUCUUCCUCUUGUUCAACCACUUAUGUCAUCUUUCUUCCUUUAACUAUGUUUUUUAUUUUUUUUAUUUUUAUUUUAUUGAAUUUGAAUUAAAGUGGGGAAGAAGAUGGGAUAAUUUAUUUAUUUUUUAACUUCACAGACCUAUUUUAUUAAAAAUUUAAAAAGAAAAUUGUAAAAACUUAAAGAUUUGUCCAAAUGGAAUUUACUCAUUUGAUUCUCUUUUUAAAUAUUUAUGCCAAAAAAGGGUUUCUAACUCUAGACAAAAUUAUCCUACUUCUAAGCCUUAUAAAAACAAUUAGAGAGAGAGAGAGAGAGAGAGAGUUUUUUUAUUUUAUUUUAUUUAUCUACUCGAUAAUGAUUUGUCAUAUUAUUAGAUGAUACAAAUUGAAUAUAAAAAAAAGAGAAGUACAAUUUGCCUUAAUUGAAAAGUUUUUUGGUUGACUAUCCUAAUCUAUGGUUUGGAGGCAUCGAUGAAGGAUUAAUGGCUCUAUCACUAAAUUCAAUAGAUGGAAUGGAUAAACGAUUUUUUUAUUAUUAUUAUUAAUUAACCAUGAUUCUGCCAUGGUUGGUAGUUUGUCUAUUCUUUUUAUAUGAAGUGUAAAUAAGUUUCAAUUUGUCUAAAAUUUAAAUAAAAAUUGAUGUAAAAUAGUAAAAGCAUCAUCCAAAUCUUAAAUUUCAAAGAAAAGUUAAAACCUUAUCAGACUAUCAAUUUGGAUUGCCUCGUGUUUUCAAUAUAUAAAAACCUUGUUUGAUAGUCAUGAGUGUAAUCAUGUCCCAAAAUAGUUUUAGAGUUGUAUUAAGAAUAUGUUUUGCAGUGAUUUUAGAAAGCGUUUAUAACAUUUCUAACAUUUAAAUGAUAAAAAUUUUCAAGUAUUAAAAAUAUCAAAAGCGCUUCCUAAAAUCAUUAUCAAACGAACUCUAAAACACUAUUAUUGUUUUCAUCAUUUUUUCAAUUUUGUUUUCCAAAACUUGUAUACAUAUUUUUAAUAAAUCCAAUUAGAUAAGAGCAUAUGUUUUCAAAUAUUUACAUUAUUUUUACAUUCAAAUACAAGUUUUGAAAGUCGUUCUUUUGGUCUAAUUAAUUGUUCAUGCAUAGCAAGACUAAGUUCCUGUUUGGAUUUGCUUCCAACUAGCCCAAUCAGGUUGAACAUUCAAGAGGAAGAAUGAAUUGGGUAUCAGUCAAUUUUUCUACUAGACUAGAUAAUUGAUAAAAUUAAAGAUUAAAAUAAAUGUCAGACAACAAUUGGAAUAAAAUACGAGUAAAAAUGAAAUAUUCACUCGUUCUAACUUCUUUCUGAGCUUAGAAAUAUAUCCAUUAAUCCAAAAGUCCCUUUGACCAACACUCUUUGAUGAAUGAACACAAAAGCUUCACAGUUUGAUGAACAAGCCUUUCUUUCAUACACAACUUAAACAUAUUUCCCAAACAUACAUUGUUUAUCAAAUUGAAAACUUUUGUCUGUAAAACCUAUGGAUUACAGGACAUGAAAAUAUUUAUACAAAUUCAAAGAAAUGCUAUGCACCAGCCUUCAUAAAUGGUGUCAAAGAAGAACACAAAGAAGAAUUGAAAGCCAACAUUUAAUCUCUCUUCUCCCAAUAUUCAGAAUCCAAGGUGACUGGGUAGAGGUCAGUGAUGGAUGAAGAAGCAGUCCAUGGCCCGUCUGGCAUGCUCUGAGCCUUGCUCUCGCUCACAUCCAUGCUCUUUUCUUGGAUGUGGCGAUAAUGCUCCUUCAUCUCCUUGAGCUUUAAGUCAUCACUAGGAGCACUGGGAUCAGAAACAAUGUCCUGAACAGCAGUUAUGCCUUCAAGCAUGCUCACAACUGAUGACAUAGCUGGCCUGACUGCUGAAGAGAUGUUCGUGCACAAGAGAGCUAUGUUGAGCAUUGCCAUGACCUCUUCCUUGUUGAAGUCUGAGCCCAAUCUGGGGUCGACUAGAUCCAUUAAGUUCCCCUUCUCUUUUAAAGAGAGUGCCUAGAAGUUGAGAAAGAAAGAAAAUCCAAUAAGAGAAUUGCUUGUGUUUAACUCAAGCAAUAGGGACUCAGGCUGCAAGACUAUUUGUUUCAACAUAUGCUGAAUGCAGCCAUGGAAAUGUCACAACCACAUUGAAUGAGAUCAAAAUUUGAUAUGUAAUGAAUGGAAUAUGCCCAGCUAGCCUGCUACCCAGAAAGAGGCAUGCUAAUAUAGGAGUUUCAUCAGAGUGGUCCAGGCAGGUCCUGGAUAAUGUCUUAUUACUAAUACGGUAAUACCACACAAUAUAAUUGAAGUCAUUCAGGAAGAAAGCAUAUACUACCUGCUUCUUCAUUUAAGGUUGAAAAGGAAGCAAUACAUGUAAGUAUUAGUAGUAUUGGGGCAAUUUCGGUUUGUCUGAGCAAAUUUUUGUUCUUGAGAGCCUAUUUAAUCCAUAUAGAGUCAUCAUCUAGGAAAAUGGUCCAAAGGAUGCCAUGAAUCAGAAUAUAACUUCGGCCCAAGAUAGGAAAAUGUAGUUGCCAUGAUGUGAUGACUAUAUAUUUUUAUAUAUAUAAUUCAAGCCAUGGUUAGGGGUUCAUGAUUCGGAUCCUAUUCACUUCCACUUUGAUCAGGCUGGGAAAGCAGCUAGUCCUUGGUCGGAUCUAGUUAAGUUGCUUUACUCAGCAGAUCUGCUAAAACAGCAGCAUGACCUGCUACUGUUAUGCAGAACUGCCCAUUUCAAAAUGAGGUUAAAGCAUGUCUUUUGGCUGUAGGAAGUGUUGGACAGAACCAGUGUGAGGGGAUAAAUUUAUACUCUGGGUUCUCAACAGGUUUUACAGCUUGUAGUUUGAAUGAUGAAGCCAUCCAUCCUUGAAGAUGCUUCCCGACACAAAUAACAAACCAUGCUGUUAAAAUUAUGCAAUCAGCCUAAAUGGAUAAGAAUGAGAAAAUUCAGAGACGACAAAUGCAAGAAAGAAUGUUGUCAAAAUUACCCAAUCAAGAAGAUAGGUGCAUUCUUCUUUUGGCCUAUAAGUAGUGUUGCUUCUUCCACUGACAAUUUCCAAGGCAACAAUUCCAAAACUGUAAACAUCUGCUUUGUCAGUUAAAUAGCCCCGCAUUGCAUAUUCAGGUGCCAUAUAUCCACUGCAAAAUGAGAGUAUGAUUUUACACAAAUUUUCCAUUUGAAAUGAAGGGUAAACACUGGUGAUCAAAAGCAAAAAAUUCUAGGAUGUGGUUUCCAAAGUGAUAACAGUGUCACUGCUUCCUAUUUGAGCUAAACGGAAGAUAAAUAAUGAUACCGAAAUUAUCACAGCCAUAAAAAUCUGGGUUACCUGAAUUCUGAAGCAGUAAAAAACCAUUGACAUCCAUUCAAAAGAAAGGAAAAGCCCAUUAACUAAAAAUCAGGAGAUAGUGACUCACAAUGUACCAGCAAUCCGUGUGCUAAUGUGGGUGUUAUCCUCUUCAUCAAGUUUGGCCAAACCAAAGUCAGAUAUUUUGGGGUUAAGAUCCUUAUCAAGAAGCACAUUUGUGGCCUUGAUGUCUCGGUGGACGAUCUUCAGCCUUGAUUCUUCAUGAAGAUAAGCCAACCCUCUUGCUAUGCCAACACAGAUCCUGUGUCUAGUUGGCCAAUCCAACUGUAAUUGACAUUCUUCAGGGCCUAAAUCAUCAUAUCAACCAAAAGUUAGAUGUAAGAAGCACAAUCGCACAAGUUCACAUACAUGUAGUUUUAUAGCAGAAGCAAUUGAGUAAAGCACAUAAGCAGAUGUGAAAAAUACAGACCAAACAAAGCACGAGCGAGGCUGUUAUUUUCCAUGUACUCGUAUAUCAGCAACAACUGAUUUCCUUCUAUACAACAGCCAUAGAGCUUCACAAGAUGAGGAUGUUGAAGAGCAGAAAUCAUGCCUAGCUCAUUCACAAACUCACGGUUUCCUUGCUUUGAUUUGGAAGAAAGCUGCUUCACUGCAAUUAUGGUGCCAUCGGAUAAGACGCCCUGCAUUUUGAGAAAUAAUGUCUUCUCUUCAGUAUAAAGUUUUAUGAGAACAAACUGCUUACUGAACAGUUUAAAUGCAUAAAAUGAGGGAAAACUAAUUCUUGUGCUGAAUACCUUGUAAACAGAACCAAAUCCACCUUCUCCAAUUUUGUUGGCAGCAUCAAAGUUGUUUGUGGCAGCCUUAAUUUGCCUUAAGGUAAACAAACCAGUCUGCAGAUCUAGACCCUUUAACUCUGUAGAAGAAGCCAAGUUAGAUAAGAAAUAUAUCUAAUAAAAAGUUGCAAUUAUUUCUAAAUUCCUAAUACUUUGAGAAGGAUUUUGAUGGAUUAUAACUGUAUCUUCUAUAUCCAGAGAAAUCAACCCUGAUUAGAUACCAUGUUUUGGCAUGAAUGCCAGCAAACCAAUCCACUGCUACGACAUCAACAAUGAAAUGUUUUGAUAGACAAAAAUUUUCAUAAUCAAUACCUUGUUCCAACGUAUCUUUGCGCCUUAGGCAGCCUCUCCACCAAAGGAUACCUAUAACCAGGAAGACAAGAAGAAUGACUCCAGCCACAUGGCCAACCACAAUGCCAACAGAUUUACUACUGCUUCCAUUUUUGGUAGGAGGUAUAAAAUCUGCAAGAAGAAAACAAAGUUAGAACAGAUACGCAGAUGGAAUGGAUGCUUUUAGGCAAAUGAUGGCACAAAGAAAAACAAAAUCCAACCAUUAGUGAUGCUGCAAAAAGAGACUAAUAACAAAAAAUAUUUUAUCAACAUUAAUUCUUCAGAGAGUCAAAGUUAAAUAAACAUGAAAAGAUGCUCGAACUGUUGGAAAAUUUCAGAAGAGCACCACAUACAGAGCAAUGAAAUUUCCUGUGAUAUAGGUAUCAUCCAAAUAUAUAUAUAUAUAUAUCAAAACAUAAUUGUGCUAAACCCUUCAAAAAAUAAUGAAUCAUGUCCAUGUUGGCUCCAAGUGACCUAAAGAAAAGAGGAGUUGUGCAGACUGAACCAAAUCACUUAACUACAAUAAAUGUGUAAUUUGAGAAAAAGUAGAAGAACAAACCCUUUUACAUCCCAACUAUUCAAAAUUGUCGAACUACUAAUUUUCCUAAAAGCUUAACCUCACCCUCCUUUACUACCCACAUGUGGAGAGACAAAUAGAAUUUGGAUUCAUAUCCAAUGGACAAAAAUAGACAAAAUUUGGAUUUUUAUUCAACAAACAAAUAAAGGAAAUGCAAAUUGCAGAGAGAAGGAUCAAACCCAGGACCUUCCCCCAAACCAAGCUUUGAAAUCAUGUUCAACUACCAAUUUUCCUUAAAGCUUAAGCUUGUAGGAUUUGGGCUCAAUAUGCAUAUCAUGCUCUUUAAUAAAAAUGAUAAAGAAAAUUCAUAAAACAAGCUCAGAAAAUGUGUGACAUACCAGGGUCCACAGAAAUAGCUGAUAUAAGAGGACCAUAAACUCCUCUAACUGGGAUACCUGUAGUCCCUUUCCCAGCCCAAUAGAAGCGAAUUUCCAAGGUAUUAUUAGUCACAACAGCAGUAAAAUAUUUUAUGAUUUCCUUGCUAACACCCCCUGCAUCAUCCUCAAUAUCGAAAUCCUUGAGAACCAGCUCAUCCUGCAACAAACCACUCCAAUUACAACUGAAAUUUUCAAGGUGCUAUAAAUUGAAAUGGUGUCCCAAGAUUUCUCUAAAACUUUGCACAAAAAAGUUGAAUUUUUAUAUAGGCUGAAGUCAAGAACUCAAAAUGGCCUGAAUCCAAAUGCUAAAGUUUCUUAGUACUUUUUAAAAUUAGAACUUUGGUUGGUGAACAUGGAAGUAAUGUGAUUCAUUACCUGAACAUAAACAUCAAACAAACGCCUUCCAAGGCUGCUAUAUGUUUUGUCAUCAGUAAAGGUGAUCUCUGCAAAGUGAAGCUUUACUGUGUAGUUUCCAUUUUCCAGACAGAAUCCAUAAUAAGUGAGAGACAGGGCGGAGAGACGUGCGGUUGUAUACAGUCCAGAAUUUUCCAUGGUGAGUCUAGACACAUUUGUCCCAAUAAAGGAGUCUGUAGGACGGUCAUCGUCCAUGAAGUGACCUGUGCUGCUGAAUGCCCAGUUUGUUCUACUCUGAUAGAACUUUGAUGGUCCACCAGAAUCUGUGUCAUCUUCAUAUGUGGUAUUUCCAUCAACGAUUACUUCUUUUCCACCACAAUUUAUGUGCAUGGAGUAAAACUCUGGAAAAAAAACCUACAAUAGAUUGGUGAAAUUGAACAAGCGAAGAAAAAGGAUAUUUAGUAAAAGGUACAAGAAAAUACAUCCAUCAACCACCCUUCCCAAACUUUUACUUUAAUCAGCAAACUUGUGACAUUGUUUUGGACUGUAUACCAAUCCAUUUUUAAUAGACCAUGUGAUCCAACGGAAAGAUUUCAACCCCAAAUGCAUUAGCAGUACCCUAAAUGCACAGGGCAAAGCACAAGAAAGGAGAAUGCCUAUCUUGAAGAGAUUUUGAGACACGGUGUACUGAAAUGUGGGUCCUCUACAAAGCUGGUCUGAUCAGUGUUUUAUCAACACUAGAAGCACAAAUUUUGAUUUGAAGCUUAAUCAGACUCAUCUCAAGUUAUGGAAAGUGAAAUUGAUGACAUUCUAAAAUCCCUUUAUAUUCUUCCAUUAAUUUCAUUCUUUUGUAUUUCUUAAUUAACAAUGUCAAGAUAGCAUAUGAUAUUUAAACUUACUUUUUGGGCAAUUAAAGCUUCUCAAGCACGAGACAAUUCCACUGAGAAAACAACGUAAUGCCCAGCAAAAGUCAGCAUCACAACAUCAUAUUUGAAUAUUACAUGACAAGGAAAGAAUCGUAGUGCUAAAGAAAAUUAUUGGCUUCAGAAAACAUUUAUCUAUUAAAAUCCUUAAAAUGGUAAUUAGAAACUCACAAGUUAUUUCCUCCUGAUGAGCUUCCAAAUAAAUUUCUGUAGAAAAUAUCACAAUCUUGAAAGUUUAUGCUAGACAGAUGAUUUUACACAGCGAAUAAUACAGAAAAGAAAUAUCUUAUGUUAGAUAAGAGUAUUCUUACACACUCCGUUCUUGACAUCCUCUUGAGCUUUCACUAGUAAAGUUAUUGUAUGAAAGAUCACUGCACCCAUUAUUCACAGUUUAAUUCAUCAUAGUUUUCCAUGCAGAAUGAACAUCAAGUUAAUAAAUCAUGAAUACACAUGAACAGAAAUUGCAUACAUAGUAUUUGAUUAUCUGAACCUUAUUUCUAAAUAACCCAAGAGAUGAAGUGUCUUGUGCCAUUAGCUAUGCAACACACAACCAAUAGCUCAGUUGUUCCUUUAGGAGUGGUCCUAAACCACUUUGAGCUAUAGUGCAAAGAACUAUUCCCCCAAGCCUAAAAUACUCUACAAUCCAUCUAUCCAUCCUCACAUAUCACCCUCCUUUUUGUCUAGAAUCCAAGUUACAUGCAAAAGGGAGCGGAAAUAUGACUUAUUGCUUUUUGUGGCAAGAGUUUUCAAUGUGCAACUGCUGUUUGUGUAAAGGAAUGAGGAAAUCGUGUGUUGCAUGAAAAAUUCUGUAUUAUGUCUUCUCGUACAAAGCAUGGACAGUUUUCAUCAGAUUCCUUAAUAGCACAGAAUAAAAGAACAAUUAUCUCUUCCAAAUUUUAGAACUAACAGAAUGUUUGCUACCCAAAUAUUUGAAAUAUUAAUCGAUAAUCAGAAUUCAUGGCGAAACAUAGAAUCAACAUUCAAAGCCAAAUUUAUUUGCUGUAAGGAUGCAAGUGUAUGCCCAUUAAAACUAAUAAAAAAAAAUAGAAGCAAGAAAGUAAUAAAAGCAAAUUGAUGGUUAACAUGUGAUGAGUAGAAACAAACAAACAUAGCCACAACAAUAUAUAAAGCAUUUGAGAAAAAAAUUUACUAGUUGUCUCCUCUUUUCAGCAUCCAAUCAGGCACGGCUCCAGUUAGCAUGUUUCCGGUAAAAUACCUACAUAACAUUGAGUUGUCCAACUUUAGUAUUGCUCAAGUAGUUUUCUUCACUAGAGUAACAUCUAAAGCAUGAUAGGAAAAACUUACUAGUAAUUCCCCCUUCAAGGACCAAAAUUAGUUUUCAAUCAAUCAGAAUGAAUUCAUCUGUCAAUUGGCUCUUUAUUCAGAAGGCUUUUAAAGCCAACAUAUGUGAUUUAGUCACUCAAUCAAUUUGAUCCUAGGCUCUAAAAUCUCCUGGUUCAUUUAGGCAAUUAACUUGGUCUUUUAGAUUAACCUUUACUUGUAGCUCAUUGGACUUCUUUCUUCAUUUAGACCAUUAAACUCAUCUUUCAGAUUCAGUAGUGAAGCCCAACCAAUGUGGUUUAGUCUUAAAAUCAAUUCAACUCCACAUCCUCGAAGCUUUCUUGGUUCAUUUAGGCCAUUAAAUUGGUUUUUCAUUUCAGUCUGUCAAUUAUUAGGUAAUUUCACCCCUUGGAAUCAGCUUGAAUAGUUGUCAAAACCUAAAGAAGAAAUGUUUAUAUGAAAAUACACUGCUUACAUGUAAUCUGCAUUUGAUAGACCGACAAAGCUGCUUGGAAUUUCUCCAGUUAGUUUGUUAAAACUCAGAUCUCUGCAAGAGAAUUCAUAAACAGAAUGAAUUAAAAAUUGCUCUACCCCAAAAGAGUCAAACACCUGAGAAUGGAAAAAACAAAACCAAGAAACCGAAAUGACAUGCUGAAAUGAACAAAUAUGAAGUUUAUGGAAUUGUGUAUGCAUUUCUAAUCUGAAAAAGACCGUGUCCCCCUCCUUUCCAUAUCACUGAAUCCUCUUCAGGAGAAAUCCUCAAAUCCCUCAGCAUAUGAAACAACUCUCCUAAAGCGUCCAGCUCCCAAUCAUUAGAGUUUCUAGAGAGUCUUAUGUUCCAACCUCCUUGGCCAAGGCUAGAAUCCCACAUCUCAUUUACCGAGGCGUUCCUUUGGGCCGCCAAGGCAAACAAUUGGGGGAAAGUUUGGGACAGCGCCUCAUUGCCGCACCACUGAUCAGUCCAGAAAUUAACCUUGGUCCCCUCUCCCACUUUGAACUCUAUAUUAUCCCAACACCAAUACGACUCCUUCAAGAUGUCCUUCCAAACCCCCACCCCAAACAUUCCGUGAGCCUCAUUAGUUCUCCAACCAAAACCCUCAUAGCCAUACUUCACCCCUAUCACCUUCUUCCAAAGGAUUUCUUUUUCAAAGGCAAAUCUCCAAAUCCAUUUGCCCAACAAGGCCUUAUUCAGAAGAUCAAUCUUCUGAAUGCCUAGACACCCUCUCUCUUUUUGGGUGCACACCACCUCCCAAUUGAUUAAAUGAAUUUUUCUUUCUAGGCUUCCCCCUCCCCAAAGAAAAUCCCUUUGUAAUUUUUCGAGCCUUUUUGCAACUAACUUGGGCAUACGAAAGAAAGACAAUUGGUAAAUAGGUAUACUGGCCAAAGUGCUCUUAAUGAGGGUAAUUCUCCCGCCCUUUGACAAAUAUUGUCUUUUUCAAAGGGCAAGACUUUUUCUCAUUCUUACUUCCACCCCGUCCCAUAUAGCCGUGGUCUUGUGAUUGGCUCCCAAGUGCAGCCCCAAAUAAACAGAAGGAAGGGCCCCCACUCUACACCCUAUCUCCAUAGCCAAUUCGUCAAUGUCUUCAACCUCCCCAACCAGAAUUACUUCACUCUUAGCUAGGUUUAUUUUAAGACCAGAGGCUGCCUCAAACCACGCCAAAAUCCAGCUUAGAUAGGUAAGGUAAUCUUGCCUUGCUUCACAAAAGAUAAUAGUGUCAUCAGCAAAUAGUAAAUGGGAUACAUUCAUUUCCAUUCCCCCCCUCCCUCGAAGACUACAACCGGAAAUGAAUCCCCCAUCAACAGCCUUUUUUAAAAGCGCACUUAGCACUUCCAUACCCAACACAAAAAAGGUAGGGAGAGAGUGGAUCUCCUUGGCGUAACCCACUGGAAUUGGAAAAAUAACCUGCUGGCACCCCAUUAACCGGAAUAGAAAAAUUUGCAGUAGAAAUACACCACCAUAUCCACUCCAUCCAACGAGCCCCAAACUCCAUCUUGUGCAUGACCUUCAUGAGGAAUUUCCAAUUAAUGCUAUCAUAGGCUUUUUCAAUAUCCAAUUUACAAAUCAGCCCUUUCUCUUUACGUUUAUGCCAAAAUUCAAUCACCUCAUUGGCUAUGAGCGAGGCAUCCAAAAUCUGUCUUCCCUUCACAAAAGCAUUUUGGUCUGCAGAAACCACCUUAUCUAAAACCUUCUUAAGCCUAUUGGCUAACACUUUGGCCAAGAGCUUAUACAAUCCCCCUAGCAGACUAAUGGGCCUGAAAUCCCCAAGGUCAUCAGCCCCCCCUUUCUUGGGGAUGAAGACUAGGAAAGUAGAAUUGAGACUCUUAGCAAAGGACUUCCCAUCAAAAAACUCCUUGAACAUAUCCACAAUCUCCUCCUUCACGAAGUCCCAGCAAGAUUGCCAAAAGGCCACUGUAAAUCCAUCCGAGCCUAGAGCCUUAUCUCCAUUCAUUCCCAUCAGAGCCGCAUGAAUCUCUUCCUCAGUGAAUGGUUGUUCCAAGCCUUCAGCUUCAAUAUGGUUUAACCUUUGAAGAUUCAGCCCCUCAAUAUCAGCUUUCCAAGCUGGCUCCUCUGACAACAGUUGCUGAAAAGCAUUCACAACCCCCUCUCUCACCUCUUGCUCCUCCUCCAGCCACCUCCCAUUGAUCUUAAUCUUUUCCAUGGAAUUGUUUCUUCUAUAGGCAUUAGCCAUCCGGUGAAAGAACUCAGUGUUUUUAUCCCCUUCCUUGAGCCACAGCUCCCUAGACAGUUGUCUCUGAUGCGUUUCUUCCAAAAGCACCCAUUUUUUAAAGACUUCCUUAGCUUCUUUUUUCAACUCCGUCUCUCCUUCAGUCAGGCUCCUUUCACUCUCCACCCCAUCCCAAAAUUCUACUUGUUGAAAUGCUAAGUUUUUAUUGACUUCCAACCUUUCAAACACGUCCCUGUUCCAUCCUUUGAUUUUAUCCUUCAAGACCUUCAUCUUUGUAGCCAAUCUAAAGCUGGCCCUCCCUUUCCCCCCCGCCUCCUACCACCAACCCCGAAGAAGCUCCUUAAACCCAUCAACUUUGAGCCACAUAUUUUCGAACCUAAAUGGGGAAGGGCCCCUUCUGAUCCUUCCACCUUUCAGCAAGAUGGGAAAAUGAUCAGAGGUGGGUCUAGGAAGCCUACUCUGGACAACCCCACUAAAACAGUCAAGCCAUUCUUGGGUCACUAGAAAAUGGUCCAGUCUAGCCCAAGAUUGAUUGUUCCUGCCCCCACUCCAAGAAGCCAUCCCCCCUUGCAUAGGAAGAUCCAGGAGCUCUAAUUCGUCAACCACCUGAGCAAAUCUUCUCAUGGCGCCAGUCAGCCUACCCUCAUUACUCCUUUCCCAUUGGGAUAGGGUAACAUUGAAAUCGCCCCCUAAGCACCAAGGGUCAUCCCAGAUGCCCCUUAUAGCCCUUAACUCCCCCCAAAGAGUCUCCCUAUUUUUUUUGGAAAACGGCCCAUACACUCUUGUGAAGAUCCAGGCCUUCCCAUCUUCUACAUUCCUAAGUCUGCAAGAGAUUGAGAAUUGCCCCAUCUCCAUCUCAAGGACCUCUAGGGUUCUUUUAUCCCAGCAUAUCAGAAUCCCUCCCGCAGCUCCCUGAGCACCCAUGGCACCCCAAUCAAGGAACCUCCCAGAACCCAAACUCCUCACUAAACCCUCUGUCAUUGACUGAAUUUUCGUUUCCUGGACACAAAACAAAUCAACCUUCUGGCUUCUGAUCAUGGCCUUAAUCACUUUCCUUUUAGAGCUAUCAUUGGCUUUACGCACAUUCCAACUCAAAAGCCUUAUCUUCAUUGGACUUCCAUAGUCUGGCACCCUCUUCCUUGCACAGUACACUUUUUCUUCUUCCCCCCCUCAUAAUUGACUGAACAUUCAAGCCUUUUCGACUCUCUUUCAAAUCUCGAUUUCUCCAGCAGGACUUUACUGUGAACUCUUUCCCUCCUCUUCCUAAUUUUGACCAGGAACUCCAAGAUAUCUUUCUCUAGUCCCUCUGUCGAGAAUCCCAGAAACUGACUGAACCUAGCCAAAUCACUUUCCUCCCAGCUCGCUUCCACCCAUCCUCUUUCUUCUUGAGGCAUAGACCGGGCAAGACACAAAGCCUCUCUGCUUUCUUCCAUAUUGUCACUAUUGACCUCUAUCAUUUCCCAACACUUCCCUUCUACUUGCUCUGUAGACCCAGAACCGUUGCGCGGUCUAUGAGUAGCCCCCUGGGUUUUGUCCAAUAGAGCCCCAGUAAGGUCGAAAAACUCCCCCAAAGGAGUCCGACCAAAAAUAGAAGAGAGGGAAGAAGGAAGAUCAAAAACCACCAUUCCAGAGGAGGAAAGGGCGUUAUCAUACCUUGCAACUUCCUCCAGCAGGGCACAGUCAGUCCUAGAGGUCCCCUCCGACAAAGUCUCCUCCUCAGAAAGCCUCCAUAGACCAUCCUUCACCCAGAAAGGGGAAAUAGCAGCGUCUGGGCCCCUCAUUGGGCUUCGGCCACUCUCCACAACGGACGGCCCUCCUCUGCCUGGGCCCUAACCAUAACUAAAGAAGAUGGCCCUCGGUUGUCCAGCCCAGCCCUCUGAAAAAGCCUUGAAGUCUUGGCCCGCUCAGUGGACUUCCAAUGCGACAGCCCAGGAUCGACCGACCCAUUAACAUUUGGGAGGUCCGAUAGAGGAGCGAGCCCAGUGGGCUCAGAAGCCUUAGACCGCCGAGAGGGCUCUGCUAGGCCCAACAAUGCAAGCCCACCCAAAACUUGUGGCCCACCCGGAAGCCCGUUGACGCUCUGAAUAGGGUCCGUGACUUGCCCCGACCCGCUUGACUGACCCCACGUCCCAUCGGCAGUCAGCAGUAAGGCCUCGAGCCUCGAGCCUUCCUUCACCUCCAUCACGCACUCGCUCGCGUGUGUACAUGCUUCACCCCCAACCUCCUCUCCCGUUGCGACGACCUUCCCUCUCUUACCUGCCGUCGUCACUUUCAUAACUGGCCUGACUUCCCACCACAGAGUUACCGAGUAGCAUAACUCUUCAACCCAGACCUCCACUACAUUGGGAAGUUCCUCACCGUUCCGCUUCACCAAAAGCCGAGCCCACUGGAACUCCUCCAUUUUCUCCGUUUGGGAGUUAACCACGAGAAAUCCCUCACACGCCUCCCCUAUCCUCCUCAAGAUGUCCCGCUCCCAUAGGGAAACGGGUAAGCCUACAACCCGCACCCAGGCUUCACUGUUAUUCUCCCCUUCCCUCAGGCAUCCUGUCUCCGGCCUCCAUUUCUCCAAUCGAAGAAAUAUCCCCCCGACCGAGAUACUUCCAAGUUUAGAGGCUUGCUCUGCUUCUGUCAGAAGUUCAAACUCCAUCAAUACCUUGCCCCUCUCCAUUUUUGCUAACCCUAGGUUUCCCUUCAGACUCCAGAUUCUCGCUAACUGGAUUCCCUACCCUCUGAGAUCGUCCCCCUUUGCUGCACUAGGGUUCCAUGUCCCAACCACAUAGUGAUCUAGUUUGUUUAAGUUCCGACCCAAUUCCUUCUUUGUGGCCUCUACCCUUACUGCUACUCUCUCUUUACCCCUCGACAUGUUGGUCACUUUCGCGAAUGUCUUCGCCAUGUUUGGCUUCAAGCGUGGCUCUUAUUCCUUCUGGCUUUUCAUUCCUUUGUCUGCACAGCCCAAACACUGUAAUGUCUCCACCAUUGAGGCCCAACCACUCUUUGCUCCUCUUCCUUUGGGAAUGAAGAUGCUAAAUCUCUUUCUCUCCAAAUCCACAACACCCAGACGGAGAAAGCAUCCCCCUCUGUUAUAGUCGCGCACGAGAGAAUAAUCCCUCCCAUUUUCCUGCCACUUUCUUACCCAUUUAACCAUCCUCACAUCCUCAAUGCUUAGAACCAGGCACUCGAGGACUACCCCAAGGCUUGCCGGUCCCAGCCUAAUCCACGAUGAGAUCCCUCCUUUCCUUUCCACAAUUGUGGCUUGCAAUCUGCCUCUCUUCUCCUCCACCUCAACCUCGAACGUUUUCGAUUCCACUCCGAAGCCACCCUUCCUAACACUCUUCCCAGGCCUCGCAUGGACCUCGCCCUCCACAAUCUCGGUCGCUCUCAGGGAGUCUCGCACUCCGCCGACGCUCUCACUCUCUCUCGCGCUCUUUCUUUCUCUAACCCUCUCUCUCUCUCUCCUCCAUAUUGCCAUGCAACUCAACCGCGUUCUUUAACAAAAGAUCAUCUUCAGGUUUCCAUGGCGUGAUAGGAGCAAGAGCACCCAUAUUUUCUGAACCACUGUUUCUCUCUCUCCCUCUAGAACGGUGUCUCUCUCAGAGAACGAGACAUGGAAGUAACCUGAAAAAAGCGUGGGCUUCUACACUUUACAGAAAACCUAAUGAAUUGGGAGGACAAGCUGUAAACUUUUACGUCUCCAGGGUCUUAUUUUCUAUCUAUUCAUACAAACAAUGCAAGCUGUAAGCAGCUUAUUCAAAAUCCAAAUUAGUCAAAACACAGAGAUGCAGUGACCACUCAAGGAACAUCACAAGCUAUGCAAGAAGUCAUAACAUGAAACAAUCUCCGAAUUUGUAGAAAAACACGUUUCAAAGAAUCUUAACAAUUAGUCUGCAACAGGUAAAGGGGAAAAGAUACUAAAUAUAUACUGACAGGGUUUUCAAUUUUGUCAUUUCCCCAAGGUAAUCAGGUAGCGGGCCAACAAUAUUGCAACUCCUCAAUAUUCUGCAAUCAAAUCAAAUAUAUAUCACCAAAAAUCUCAAAAAUAUGUUCUAUGUACUGUGUAUUAUCAAGGGCAAUCUACUCACAGAGUUUUCAAGUUUCUCAUAUCACUCAAUGGUGGAAAAGUUGCUUCAGUUCCAUUCAGGUCACUGAUUCUCCUGCACAUAGAAAUUCAAUAAAAAAUAAAAAUAUAAUAAUUUCAAUCCAUAUAAAUUAUCAAAGCUAUGGCAUAGGAGAGCUUUACUCACAAGUCAGUUAUUUUUGUCAAAAGGGCAAUGCCAGAAGGAAUCGGCCCACUGAAACCACUCCCUUGAAUCACUCUGUCGGUAGCAAAUUUCAAUUAGAAUAUGUGAUUAUAAAUGAAAUCAUGCCACUCAUACCAACUCAAACAUCAGAUUCAACAAAGCUCUCACAAUUUUUCAAGUUUUGUCCAGUUCUGUAUAAAAUUGGGUAUCUUUCCUGUGAACUGAUUAUCUCCAACCCGACUGCAUUGAAUUAAAACAAAGAUACAAUAGCCCCAAUCUCAGAAUUCAACAAAAAAAAUAUGCUAAUUUAUGCAUACAAAAACCCGAAAAAAGAAAAGACACUUCAAAAUCUUACAAGUCCUUCAAUGUGGUAAGCCCUGCAAAUGUUUGUGGUAACUCCCCAGUGAAGUUGUUUGAGGUAAGAAGUCUUCAACAACGAAAAACACAACCAAACCAAUAAACCCACCAGCGUUAAUAAUAAAAAAAAAACUGGUAACACCCAUAAUUGGCAAAAUCUACAAACAAAAGGGUCUUACAUUCUCUCUAUACUGGGCAGAUUCCCAAGCUCCUGAGGAAGAACCCCUGAAAGCUGAUUGAACUCUACGGUUCUACGCAUAUCAAAUCCAAAAUUUUCGCAUCAAAAACAAUAAUUCUUAGAAGAUCACACACUGAAAAGGGAAACAAAUGGGUAAUUAGAAGUUCACAGGUUUGCAAGAGUAGAGAUGUUUCCAAGCUCUUUGGGAAUCGAACCCGUUAACCGGUUUCCGAUCAGAGAACUGCAACAACACCCACAUACCAAAUUCAAAAAAUAAAAAUAAAAAAUGAAAUGCUUAAAGGUUCAUAUUGAAUAAGCCAUCAAAAUUUCAACCAUAUAUACAUAGAUGGAGAGAAAACACACAUGUUUACUAGUUGCAUUGUACCCCAUUCUGGAGGGAUUGAACCGUCGAGGUAGUUGCGUGUGAAGUCACUGUAACGGAGAUGAAUUACAGUUAAGUUAGUUGAAGUCCUAAAUGGGUAAUUGAAGAAAUGGGUGAUGCCAAAAUUGGCAGAAAAAUUAAGUUAGAGAAAUACUCACAUUUCUUGGAGGUAAGGAAGCUUAACCAGCUCUGGUGGGAGAGAUCCCGGGAGAUUCUGAGUCUUGAGGACUCUACAAUUGAUAAAUACUCACGUUAACGGUUAUUAAUUAACUUAUGAUUGAUUUGUAUUUUUUUUUUAAUUAUUUUUCAAAUAUUCUUUAAAGAAAAAAAAAAAAAGACUAGGCUGUUCCUUAAAAAUUUUAAGGAAAAAUGCAAGAAAAAAUAAUUUAAAAGAAAAUAAAAAAUAAAUAAAUUAUUUUUAUAUACUACUUCAAAUUUAUUAAGAUAUUUUAUCUUUUUUUAUAUAGAAGUUAAAUAAUUUUAAAAUAUAUAAAUUUUUAAUUAAUUUUAAUUAUAUUUAAUUUUCUUUUAUACUUUUCAUAAAAAAAACCUAAAUAUAAAAAAAUAAUUUUUUUUUCAUUUAUUUUCUUUUCUUAGCAUUUUUCUCAUACCAAAUACAUUAAUAUUAACACAUCUUUAUAUUUUUAAAAAUUAAAAACUCUUUUCAAAAAUAAUUUUCAAAUAUAUUGUAAAAUUUUAACUUAGUAGAAAGCUUAACUUGAUUCAAACACAAUUCAAGAAACUAGAUUCAUAGGGUGUUAUGUAUACAUUUUUAAGUUUUAUUAUUUAUAUUAUAAUUUUAUUUGUUUAUAUUUAAAUUUCAUUAUAUCUCACGAUACAUAUUCAAUGGUCUUGAUUUAGACCAGGAUAGGUAUAGCUUUGCAUUUCCCGUCCGUAUAUAUCCCCAAGGGCCCAACCUCACUCGGCUGCCGACAAAAAAGAGGUGGGCCCAUUGGACCUCAGUUCCUAAUUGGGCCCACAAGAUAAGAUUCUCCUUUCGAACUUUGUCCUAACAUCCCAGAAUGACAACAGUCUGAACUUAUUGGACCUGAAGGCCCAUUUAGAAGUCAAAGUCAACACAACAAAUUAUGGCCACCAACCUAACUUAUUAUUAUAAAUAAAUAAAAUUAUAAUAUAUAAAUAUAUUAUAUAUAUUUAAAUUAUAUGAUAGAAAUAUUAAAAAAACCUUUGGAAAAAUAAAAUAAAAGGGUACUUAAUAUUAUAAAUCCUUAUGAUAUUCAAAUGUCAAUAUUAAAACGAAAUUUAUUUAUUUACUAAAUAUGGCCAUUUAUAUUAAAACCUUCUUUCUAUAUAAGUUAGGUAAAUUAGGGUGGAGAGUGGAAGCCAACUAUUCCAUAUAAAGUCCUUCAAUAAAAUAUUUCACAUUAAUUUAUUUUCAUCUAUAACAUAUUCUAAAAUAAUUGGAAUGUGUUUUGGUAUUAAAAAAAAAUGAAAAUAGCAUGAACCAAAAAAUACAUAAAUUAUAUUACAUUAAAGUUACCCGUGUUUCCUAAAAAAUACUAAGAAAAAAAAUGAUAAUAAAAAUAUUUUUUUAUAUUUGAUUUAAUCAUAAAAAAUAUAUAUAUAAAUCAAAUAUAAUUAAAAUUUAUCAAAAUUUUAUAUAUUUUAAAAUUAUUUAGUCUAUCUAUAAUAAAGGAAAAUAAUUAAAAUGAGUUUGAAGAAAUAUAUAAAAAUAAUUUAUUAAAAUUUAAAUUUAUUUUUAGUUUUUCUUNNNNNNNNNNNNNNNNNNNNNNNNNNNNNNNNNNNNNNNNNNNNNNNNNNNNNNNNNNNNNNNNNNNNNNNNNNNNNNNNNNNNNNNNNNNNNNNNNNNNUUUUUUCUUUCUAAUUUUUUUUCUUAAAUGUCUGAGAAUCAAACAUAGGCUAAAACUUUUGUUUUUUUAUUUGAAUUUUUAAUAAACUUUGAAAUAUUUUACUUUCAUUUUUUGAGUUAUAUGAUUCAAAAUUUAUACAAAUUUAGGGGUAUUUAGAUUUUAAAUUGGAAAUAAAUAUUGUUCUAUAACAUGUAAAGUAUUCUCGAAAUAAAAACUUUAUUUAUAAUCCGAUGAUUAUUGUUUGUUUUCUUAAUUGAAUUGUAAUUAAACUCAACUCAAUCUUUUUAGAAACUAAAAAAAUUGAGCAAAUAAAUAGAAGUUUAAUUAACUUACAUGCUAACAACAUGGCAAACAGUGUUGUUGGUGCAGCUACAAGUGACAGCAUUUUCCGACCCCUUCACCGGAUUCUUCGUCGCCCAACCCCACUCACCGCCGCACGGAUCCGCACUGAAGUUCCAGUCCGUCUUCCCCAGAGUUUCCGCGAUCUCUUCCAGAGCUUCCACUGUAAAGUGUAAUAAUAAUAAGAUUGAUUUUUGAGAGUAUAUAUAUAGAACUAUGAAAAAUGAGGUAGAAUGAAUGGUAGUGUCACCUUCAUUAUUUGGGAGGAGAGUUGCAGAGAAGGUGAGAGUUGUGAAGAAAGUGAAGGCAAUGAGUAAAGAAGAGAGAAGGCUGUUAAUGGAGGGCAUGGUUUUAGGGUUGUUGCAGAGGAGGAGGGCUUGGGGCUUGGAGGAGCACUAGAUGAUGGAUGAGGAUUAAUGAUUUGUGGUAAGAGGGUCUUUGUCGUGUACAGGAGGAGAGAGAAAGAGAGAAGACUCAGAGCGAAGACUUCGAUACAUGGUUAUAUCGUACCGUACCAUGGUUGAUGAUUUUACAUUUGAUUAAUCAAAAAGCAUUUUUUUCCGCAAAUUUUAAAGAUAAAGUUUUUUUAAAAAAUAAAUAUUUAAAACUUUUUUCAAAUCUACGAGUCUGUCUAAACUUCCAUAUUUACACUAAAACAAAAACAUAAAUAUAUAUAUAUACACACUAGAUAUUUAGUACAUUCUUUUUAUUUUAAAAUUUAAUAAUUAAUUAUAGUAAUAAAAACCGAUAAAAAGAUAAAAUUUAAUAAUUGUUGGAGACAUCUUGGUAUCAUUGUGGACCCCGUAAUUUUACUCAAUGCGUUUCCACUCGAUAACGAAACUCGUUUUUUUAUUUGUUUGAUGAAAAUUUGAUUUUUUUUAUAAAAAAAAAACUUGGAGUCGUUACUUAUUUUUUAAGGGAAAAACAAAAUAAAAAAGAAAAACUCUAAGUGUGACUCUUGAAAGAAAAACAAGUGUAUAAAAAUCGAGUCUGGGUCCGGAGGUCAAGUUACUUAUCGAGAAGAUACGGUGGUGAACCGUAGCACUCCUCUAAACCCCUUAAAAAACGGGUCUCUAUUAAAUAAGACGAGGCAAGUGUGGCAAUUGACGAGGAAAUCAAUGGUUACCAAUAAAAUGAUCGGAUAACAAAAUGAAUCAUGUAUGAGAAUAAGCAAAGUGGGAGUGAGAGCGUAUCUGGGCAGUAAGUAAUAUUGCGCUAUUAUGGAAACGAGGUUAGCUCAAGUAUAAAAUUAACACAUGUAUAUCAAAGAGUAAGGCAAUGAUCGAACAAUAUUCAUUAAGCAUAACAAUUAACAAUCGGAAAAUAAAACUUAUAUGUAAGGCCUCCACCAAAGCUCAAUUUAUCUCGCAUGAAUUGGUCUCACAAAUUUUAUUAUUUCGGAAUUAUGAAAAAUUCAUUCUUACUUAUGUAAAAUCAAGAGAAACAUAAGAUUAUUUGAUAACCAGAAUGGAAUUAAAACUGUUAGAGCGAAAACUGGAUUUUUGAAAUUUAUUUGAAAAUUGGAGUUUCGAAAAUCUUUUGAAAAUUGGAGUCUUGGAAAUUAAAUUUAAGAAUUGAAAUUUUGGAAAUUGGAAAUUAAGUUUGAAAAAUUGGAAUUUCAGGAAUUGCGAACUAAAUUUGAAAUCGGAAUUUUUAAGAAUUUAUUUAAAGAUGGAAUUUUUUUUAAUAAAUAAAUAAAUAAGAAAAAUAAAAAUAAUAACGAAAUUAUUAACGAUUAAAUAAAUAAAUUUGAAAAUUAGAAUUUUGAAAAUUGGAAAUUAAAUUAGGAAAUUGGAAUUUUGAAGAAUUAUUUAAAAAUAGAAUUUUUAAAUAUUAAGUUUGAGAAUAAGAAUUUCGAAGAAUUAUUUAAAAAUGGAAGUUUGAAAAUUAAAUUUAAGAAAAUGAAAUUUUGAAGAAUUAUUUGAGAAUGGAAUUUAAAAUUAAAUAAAUAAAUAAUAAUAUUAAUAAAUAAAAAUAAAAAUAAAAAUAAUAAAUAAUAAAUAAAAAUCUUGGAAAAUUGGGAUUUUGAGAAAUUAUUUAAAAAAAAAAAAGUGAAUUUGAGAAUAGAAUUUUGAAAGAUUAAAUUUUGAAAAUCGGAAUCUUGGACAAUCAUUUUGAGGAUGGCAUUUUGAAAAACUAAAUUUCGGAAAUUGAAAUGUUAGAAAAUUAUUUUAAUAUCAAAAUAUGAAGAAAUAGUAAAAAAAAAAAAAAUGGCUUGUGGUGAUCCUCAUUUGCAAGACUUAAUUCUCCACGUGUUCAAAGUGGCAACCAACCUAUUCGCUAUGCUGCCAACAUACCAAAGAAUGCCACAAGAUUACUUCCCAUAUUACAAUAAUGUCAUUCAAACCCACUUUCCAUGCAAGUCUCUUUCAUACUCACCAUGCACUUCCCGAGAGCACCACAAACCCAUUUUUUUUUUUAUGAAAAACAAACACCACAAUGCUGCCACCUUCUUACCUAUUCGCUAUGCUGCCAACAUACCAAAGAAUGUCACAAGAUUACUUCCCAUAUUACAAUAAUGUCAUUCAAACCCACUUUCCAUGCAAGUCUCUUUCAUACUCACCAUGCACUUCCCGAGAGCACCACAAACCCAUUUUUUUUCAUGAAAAACAAACACCACAAUGCUGCCACCUUCUUACCUAUCCGCCAUUCUCACUACCAUGCGCAUGGAGUUUCCAUUGGUGGAAUGGGGGUAUAUGGUAGUGAGAGAAAUGGGUUCGGGUUGAUGAGGUGAUGAAAUGAAGUCAUGCACGUAGAGAUUAACGUCGGGUGGAGUCAUGGGUAGUGAGAGAAAUGGGUUUAAGGGUUUGGUGGGUGUGAAGUUAUAGGUUUGAUGGAGGAUAGGAGGUUAGUGAAAAUGAGUUCAAUAGAUAUGAAAGAUGGGUUAGAGAGCAUUAAAGAAAUGGUGAUGUGCAUGGAAGGUUAGGGAGGAUGAGGUGGUUAGCUUGGGUGUGAGGGGUGGUGAGCAUGAAGGAUGGAAAACUGGUGGGUAUGAAUGAUGGGUAUGAUUAGUGAGUUUAGAAAAUGGGUACAGUAUUAGUGGGACGGGUAGUGGAAAAACAGAUUGGUGGGUAUUGGAAAAUGAGGUCUCUAUAGUAGCCAUGCAUGCGUCAAAAAAAUAGGAAGGAGUGCAUGGAGGAUAAAUGGAAGGAUGAGUGAUGGAAGUAGCAAAAUGCAUGGGUAUGUUCGGUGUGAGGUUAAGAAUGGGAUGUAUGAUACAUGGUGAUGGGUAUGAUGGUAUAUAAAAAAAAAAACAGAGAGUGAUGAGGUUUCCAUGCAUGGCAUUAGGGGAAUGGACAUGUGGGUGAUGAAUGGUGUGUUAUUUGUCUUUGAUAUCCAUUAUCACCAAAACAUAUGCAGGAUAUAUUUAUCAAUUCAUUUAGAACAUGUUUUUAUUCACAUGGAACAUACCCGAAUCCAUUUCUGAAUUUUGGUUGAAGAUGUAUGGAUCUUCUAAGGUCGAGGAGGGUAACCACCGUCACUGGAUUCUCUCUAGCAAUGGGAAGCGAGAGAGAUUAGGGUUCUGUUCUAUUAAAAAAUGUGAUGAUAUAAAAUGAAUAGACCUUUGACCUUUUAUACCCUCCUACCUUAAGGACCAUACCCAUUGGGCUAUUGGGCCUCACGAGUCUUAGGCCCAUCAUCUAAGGCUCGUGAUGGCGUUUUGGCUCUACACAUAGGUGGCCCAUACUCUUGAACGAAUCAGAAAACAAAUAGUAAGAUGUGAAUAGCUUAGUCAUGAAUUAUUGUUAGAUAUGUGAGUCCAUAUCUUAACAUGGUGGUGAGAGAAAAAUGGGUUUAAUGGGUAUUCAAGAAAAUUAAUGAUAUGGGUAUAAUGGCAAUGGGUGGUUAAUGGAGAGAAGGGCAUGGUUAUGAGCGCGUUUGUGUUGGAGUGACGUGCGUGUAAUGGUGAAACAACAUGCAUGAAGGGUGGAAGAAUGGGUAUGGCGACUGUGGAAUGGAUAAUGAAGGGUGAUGAGAAAUGUGGGUUUCACUGGCAAAUAUCAACUGUACAACCCAAAACCAUCUGAUACCUUUCUUCUAAAUUGUCAUCUUCAUUAUUAAACUCUAGAGACUUCUGUUCAGCCAUCCGUUUGAGAAAUAUAACCUUCCCAAGCAUUGUGAUAUUCAAGCUGAGAUUUUUGGAAUGAAAAUGGGUGAGGAUUUGAGCCAGCUGCUCUACCAUGGGUCCUCCAGGAGACACUCUGAUCCAAACGACCAAGCCAAACAAAGGAACCUAAUACUCCAAAAUAAAGGAUAACAUGAAGAAAAAAAAGAGCAAAGACAAGAGAAAACAGUAUUGUUGAACCCAAGCUCCAUUUUAAUGAAUAUCAAUGAGUUUUCGAAAGAAAAUGGUGGGAGGACCGAAUAGUCUUAACAUGCAAACAAAUAACAUAACCAUCGUGCAAUUCAUACAAGAGAAAACAGAGACCUAACAAAAAAAAAAACGAGAAGCAGGUUUAACACAUUAAAUGAUCAAAGCAAGCAACCAAACAUCGGCAAGAAGCUCAGUGUGACCAUCAAAAUAAAAUAAGAUAAAAGAAAAGUGAAGAACAUAAGGUGAGGAAUGAUCAAACUUGAGCGAUUCCUUCCCUGCUCCUCUCUCACGGUCCUUGAAAAGCUCACUCUCGUUUUCCCUCAGGUUCUCUUCUCUCAAACCAAAUGGCCCCCAAAAAUCCCCCAUAAUGUCUUCUCCACCUCUCGAAAAACUUACCUUCCCCAUUCAAAGAAAAACCCCCCUUCUCAAAAAUAUCUCCUCCUUCUUUUCUAGUUUUUUUGCCCUUCCCCUGUUUCUGCCUUCUCCCGCAAGCCACUACCCGCUCCACUAUGCACCAUUCAGCCAAUAUGUCACCCUCUCCAACCACCAUCAUGGGCGAGCUGCUGAUGUUCACCACACGUCCAUGCAUGGAGCUUCAUGGGAGGUGUCCCCCACUCCCAAUGAAAUGCUCUCCAACUCCUUAAUAAAAGCAAAUAAAAACUAAAAACAUUUGGUUCGUAAAAAUGAGGUCUACAAUCAUUUCAUAUUCUUCAAUUAUUUUACCUUAUGAAGUUAAACCCACUAACAUGAACAGCUCAAUUCAUUUAUAUAUUUCUUGGAUUCACCACUGAAAAUUCCCCAAAAAAUAAAAAAUAAAAAUUCACAAGACAAUGGAUUUACAGGCCAUGGAUUGCUGGUGACAGCUCAAGUUUGCUUCAUAGUCAACUCAAUACAAUUUUAUUUUAUUUUUCAAUAUAAUAUGGCCAUGUGAUGAAUAUCCUAUGCAGCAAGAAGUUGGUUCUCAUUUCUAAGACUUUCUCACCAGCCAAACAUUGUGUAAUGUCAAAGGUAUGAAUAAAAAAAAAUUUCUUCUUUCUGAGUUUUUUUAAAUCCAAGUUGAGGAAGUUGACUUGGGGAGUAACACCAAGUUGCACUGCUGUAGCAGUUAAGAAGAUACACAAUUUUGAAUUUAUCGUCUCCUUCAAGUCUUUGUCACCACCAAACCUAGGGAUUUUCAGAUAAAGUUGUCUGUACUUAUUGAUUAAGUUUAGUCAUGGUCAUCAAGUACAAGUUCCUUGCGCUUUCAUAUAGGUUUGUACUUUCUUUUUUUCUAAUAAUUAAAAUUAAUUUUUGGAUCAUGGGAAAUCUAAUGGAGGAAAAUGACCAAAAGGCCAAAAAUAAUUUUUUUUAUUUAAUUUAUUGUUAAAAAUAUGAAAAAAAAAAUCAAAUAAAAUAAUAAAUAGUUAUAUUUUCAAGUACUUUAUUCAAAAAGUCUAUGAAAACUUUAAUUUUAUCAUAGGAAAAUGUUAUUUAUUUUAAUUUUUAAGGUGGUAUUUAAAUAUUAUGAUUUUUUUUUUUAAUAAUAUUUAAAACAAGUCCUCUAAAAUAUAGAUUUUUUUCUUUCGUAAAGUUGAAAUGGAGGUAUAAUAUCAUCUUUCCACAAAAAAGGAUUCAAAGAAGGUGUUUGAAUUUUUAUAUUUUAGCUUAAUAAAAUGAAGCAACCACCCUUUGUUGAUGAAGCUAAAUCUUUCUAUUCUAACUAUAUAAUAAAAUAAUUUUUUUUUUUUAAGAGAAAAAGUAAUUGAGGGUGAAAAAUGUGUUUAAAAAAUAUUUUUCUAUUUUAUUUAAUCAAUAAUAUUACAUUAAAUAUUAAUAUAAAGUAAUAUAUUUAACUAUAUGUUAUAUAAUUAUAAGCGGUUGUGGCUCACUAUGAAUCACUUAAUAUGAUUUAAUAGUUUAAUUUAAAUUAUUAAAUAUAUUAAGUAUAUUAAAAAAAUAGUUUGAUAUCUCCUUCUAACUUGUUUCCAUGCUUAGAAGUAUAUCCAUUAAUCCAUAAGUCUCUUUGACGAACAAUCUUCAAUGCUUUUAUACAUUUAUAAUACCUAAAGUGUUGUCUAAAUAUAAUUUGACCGAAAAUUAUGACUUUGACUUUACCUUAGACUAAAAAACUAUCUCAAAUAUAUUAAGGAAAGAGCAUCAAAGCCACAAAAUCUGUAGAGAAACUAAAGAUGCCAAAAACCGAUAAAUGAACACAAAUGCUUCAUAGAUUGAUGAGCAAGCCUUUCUUUCAUACACAACUCAAACAUAUUUCCCAAACAUACAUCUUUGAUAAAAUUGAGAACUUUUUUCUGUAAAACCGUAUGGAUUACAGGACAUGAAAAUAUUUAUACAAAUUCAAAGAAAUACUAUCCACCCACCUACAUAAAUGGUGUCAAAGAAGAACACAGAAGAAUUGAAAACCAACAUUUAAUCUCUGUUCUCUCAAUAUUCAAAAUCCAAGGUGACUGGGUAGAGAUCAGGGAUGGAUGAAGAAGCAGUCCAUGGCCUGUCUGGCAUGCUCUCGCUCACACCCAUGCUCUUUUCUUGGGUGUAGUAAUAAUGCUCCUUCAUCUCCUUGAGCUUUAAGUCAUCACUAGGAACACUGGGAUCAGAAACAAUGUCCUGAACAGUGGUUCUGCCUUCAAGCAUGCUCACAACUGAUGACAUAGCUGGCCUGACUGCUGGAGAGACCUUUGUGCACAGGAGAGCUAUGUUGAUCAUUGCCAUGACCUCUUCCUUGUUGAAGUCUUGAGCCCAAUCUGGGGUCAACUAGAUCCAUCAAAUUCCCCUCCCCUUUUAAUGAGAGUGCCUAGAAAUCAAGAAAGAAAAAGAGAGCUUGUGUUUAAAUCAAGCCAUAUGGACUCAGGUGGUAAGACUCUAUUUGUUUCAACAUAUGCUGAAUGAAGCCAUGGAAAUGUCACAACCACAUUGAAUGAGUUUAAUAUUUGGUAUGUGAUGAAUGGAAUGUGCCCAGCUAGCCUGCUACCCAGAAAGAGGCAUGCUAAUAUAGGGGUUUGCUCACAGUGAUCAAGGAAGGUCCCAAUGACGUCUUAUUGCUAAUACAGUAAUAUCACACAAUUUGUAUAAUUGAAGUCAUUCAGGAUGGGAGCAUAUACUACCUGCUUCUUCGUUUAAGGUUGAAAAGGAAGCAAUGCAUGUAAGUAUUAGUAGUAUUGGGGCAAUUUCGAUUUGUCUGAGAAAAUUUUUGAUCGAGAGAGUCUAUUUGAUUCAUAUAGCAUCAUGAACUAGGAAAAUGGUCCAAGGGAUGCCAUGAAUCAGAAUAUAACUUCAGCCCAAGAUAGGAAAAUGUAGUUGCCAUGAUGUGGUGACUAUAUUUUUAUAUAUAUAAUUCAAGAGCCAUGGUUAGGGAUUCAUGAUUCAGAUCCUAUUAACUUCCACAUUGAUCAGGCUGGGAAAGCAGCCAGUCCUUGGUCGGUUCUAGUUAAGUUGCUUUACUCAACAGAUCGGCAAAAACAGCAGCAUGACCCGCGACUGUUAUGUGGAACUGCCCAUUUCAAAAUGAGGUUAAAGCAUGUCUUUUGGCUAUAGGAAGUGUUAGACAGAACUAGUGUGAGGGGAUAAAUUUAUUCUCUGGGUUCUCAACAGGUUUUACAGCUUGUAGUUUGAAUGAUGAAGCCAUUCAUCCUUGACGAUGCUUCCCGACACAAAUAACAAAUCAUGCUGUUAAGAAUGAGAAAAUUCAGAGAUGACAUAUGCAAGAAAGAAUGUUGUCGAAAUUACCCAAUCAAGAAGAUAGAUGCAUUCCUCUUUUGGCCUAUAAGUAGUGUUUCUUCUUCCACUGACAAUUUCCAAGGCAACAAUUCCAAAACUGUAAACAUCUGCUUUGUCAGUUAAAUAGCCCCGAAAUGCAUAUUCAGGUGCCAUAUAUCCACAGCAAAAUGAGGGUAUGAUUUUACACAAAUUUUCCAUUUGCAUGAAGGAUAAACACUGGUGAUCAAAAGCAAAAAUUUCUAGGAUGUGGUUUCCAAAGUGAUAUCAGUAUCACUGCUUCCUAUUUGAGCUAAACGGAAAGAUAAAUAAUGAUACUGAAAUUAUCACAGCCAUAAAGAUCUGGAUUUCCUGAAUUCUGAAAGAGUAAGAAACCAUUGACAUCCAUUCAAAAGAAAGAAAAAGCCCAUUAACUAAAAAUCAGGAGACAGUGACUCACAAUGCACCAGCAUUCCCGGUGCUAAUGUGGGUGUUAUCCUCUUCAUCAAGUUUGGCCAAACCAAAGUCAGAUAUUUUGGGGUUAAGAUUCUUAUCAAGCAGCACAUUUGUGGCCUUGAUGUCUCGGUGGAUGAUCUUCAGCCUUGAUUCUUCAUGAAGAUAAGCCAACCCUCUUGCUAUGCCAACACAGAUCCUGUGUCUAGUUGGCCAAUCCAAUUGUAAUUGACAUUCUUCGGGGCCUAAAUCAUCAUAUCAACCAAAAGUUAGAUGUAAGAAGCACUCAAAUCACACAAGUUCAUAUACAUGUAGUUUUAUAGCAGAAGCAAUUGAGCAAGGCACGUAAGCAGAUGUGAAAAAAACAGACCAAACAAAGCACGAGCGAGGCUGUUAUUUUCCAUUUACUCAUAUAUCAGCAACAACUGAUUUCCUUCUAUACAACAGCCAUAGAGCUUCACAAGAUGAGGAUGUUGAAGAGCAGAAAUCAUGCCUAUCUCAUUCACAAACUCACGGUUUCCUUGUUUUGACUUGGAAGAAAGCUGCUUCACUGCAAUUAUGGUGCCAUCCGAUAAGAGGCCCUGCAUUUGAGAAAUAGUGUCUUCACUUCAGUAUAAAGUUUUAUGAUAACAAACUGCUUAAUGAACAGCUUAAAUGCAUAAAAUGAGGGAAAACUAAUUAUUGUGCUGAAUACCUUGUAAACAGAACCAAAUCCAACUUCUCCAAUUUUGUUGGCAGCAUCCAAGUUGUUUGUGGCAGCCUUAAUUUGCCUUAAGGUAAACAAACCAGUUUGCUGAUCUAGACCCUUUAAAUCUGUAGAAGAAGCCAAGUUAGAUAAGAAAUAUAUCUAAAAAAAAGUUGCAAUUAUUUCUACAUUCCUAAUAGUUUUAGAAGGAUUUUGAUGGAUUAUAACUGUAUCUUCUACAUCCAGAGAAAUCAACCCUGAUCAGAUACCAUGUUUCAGCAUGAAUGCCAGCAACCCAAUCCACUGCUACGACAUCAACAAUGAAAUGUUUUGAUAUACAACAUUUUUCAUAAUCAAUACCUUGUUCCAAUGUAUCUUUGCGCCUUAGGCAGCCUCUCCACCAAAGGAUACCGAUAACCAGGAAGACAAGAAGAAUGACUCCAGCCACAAUGCCAACCACAACGCUCACAGAUAUACUAGUACUGCCAUUUCUGGAAGGAGGUAUAAAAUCUGCAAUAAGAAAACAGGGUUAGAACAGAUACGCAGAUGGAAUGGAAGCUUUUAGGCAAAUGAUGGCACAAAGAAAAACAAAAUCCAACCAUUAGUAAUGCUGCAAAAAGAGACUAAUCACAAAAAAUAUUUUAUCAACAUUAUUCUUCAGAGUCAAAGUCAAAUAAACAUGAAAAGAUGCUCAAACUGUUGGCAAAUUUCAGAAGAGCAACACAUAAAGAGCGAUGAAAUUUUCAAUGAUAUAGGUAGCAUCAAAGAAGAAUCAUUUGAGAUUCCAUAUAUAUUAAAACAGACCUGUGCCAAACCCUUCAAAAAAUAAUGAAUCAUGUCCAUGUUGUUUCCAAGUGCCCUAAAGAAAAGAGGAGUUGCGCAGACUGAACCAAGUCACUAAACUAAAAAAAUGUGUAAUUUGAGAAGUAGAAGAACAAUACCCUUUUGCAUACCAACUAUUCAAAAUUGUUGAACUACCAAUUUUCUAAAUGUUUAAGCUUAAGCUCCCUCAUGUGUGGUCCCAUGCCACAGGUGGAGGAACAAACAAAAUCUGGAUUCAUAUCCCAAUAGACAAAGAUAGACAAAAUUUGGAUUCAAACAAACAAAGGAAAUGCAAUCUGAUACUCUAAUUAUUAAAAAGCUACUAAAAAAACAUAGACAACAAUAAUGAAUAAAAAGUAAAAGUAGUUCGGAGUUAUUACCAUUUAAUGAUAUUUAUAUAAGUAAUAAUUUGAGUUUAAUAAAUAUUAUUUUUACGUUAGAAUAUAUGAAAUUCGAAUGAUUUUUUUAGAGGGUUUUUUUAUUAUUAUUAUUAUUUAAAAGUGUGGACUAAACAUGCUAUUUCCAUAAAAUAUAAAUCGGUUUUCUUUGAAAAGGAUUUAUUCUUUCAAAGUGAAAAUUAGUUUGCAUUUUGUGAGAAAUAUUCCUUGAAAAUGCCUAUAAAUCUAUUCACUCCACACUGAACCAAGUAUUGCACGCACCACGAGGAACCAAUACACAAAUCAGAGAGAAGAGCAGAAAACCAAUAAGAACAAAACCAUACCAACACACAAAUCAUAGAGAGGAGGAACCAAUACACAACUCAUAGAGAGAGAGAGAGAGAGGAUUUACCUCUGCAAAGCACAGCCCUGGGGCUGCCAUCUGAACUUGAGAUACAAAUCAUCCAUACGCCCAUUCCUCUGGCAAUUGAACUCCCUCUCUAUGAAUGGGCAUUCCUCCGCCUUGUACAGAGGAUAUGUCUCAUCCCUAACCCAUAUCCCUUGAAAAAAAUCACACUUCUCCCCACUCCCAACCGCAUUUCCAAUACAGACAACAACAACAAAAAUGAACAAAACACCCUGAACCCAUGAACCCAUUUCUCAAUCUCAAGCUCCCCAAGAGAGAGAAACAGAGAUGGGUUUUGUGUGGAAUUCUACUCUAGUAAAGACCCAUUGCCCAUUUCCCAUGUCUCAAGAUUUCUAUUUAAUAUAUAGACAAAAGAAGGAGGAUGUAGAAAGAGAGUAAUGUUUCAAUGUGGGUAAAUGAGGAAGUGAUUUGUCUCUGUUUUUUAAAAGAGGAAAGGAGAACUUUGGGUGUGUUGUCAUGUAUGGUCACUAUGGUGUGAUAAUAUCUUAAUAUGUACAGGAGAUGCCCUGGAUAAUAAGGUGUCAUGUGGACUUUUGACCAAAACUCAGCCAAUGAGAGACCCUUGGUUGGUUUGGUUUUCUCCAUGGGAUAACUACUUUUUCUUUCUUUUUUCAUUUUUUGGAUUUCUUAAAUUUUUGAAUUCAUGUAACUAUGAGUCCUUCGAUAGUGUCAAAUUGAUACCUACCAAAAAUUAAACCAAUCUCAAUAUACCACUUUUAUAAUUUUAUCUCAUUAUUUUGUAAUUCACUUACAUUUCGUUUAUUUGUAAUCAGUCUCAUACUCAUUUGCUCCAUUAAUGGCUUCUAGGUCCAUGCUUGUCUUCUUCUUCUUGCUCAACCACCAAUCUUAUGUCAUCUUUCUUCCUUUAACUAUGUUAUUUAUUUUUAUUUAUUUUAUUGAAUUUGAAUUAAAGUGGGGAAGAAGAAGGGAUAACUUUUUUUUUUAAUUUCACAUACUGUGGACCCCGCAUUUCGGCUCAUGCGUUUUCCACUUGAUGGCGAGCUCAAUUUUAAUUUGAAAAAUUGAUCUUUUAUUGAUUAAGAAAAAUUGACUCGGAGUCGCCACUUAUUUUUGUUUUAUUUUUAAAGGGUAAACAAAAUAAGAAAGAAAAACUCUAAGUGUGACUCCUUGUUUUAGAAAAGGUGGUCUGCAAAAAAAUCGGAUCGGGUUCGGGGGUCAGGUUACUUAUCGGGAAGGUACGGUAAAAACCGUAGCACCCCUCUAAGUCCCUAAAGUCGGGUCUCUACUAAUAGAAUGAAACUAACGUGGCAAUCGAAUAAGAAAGUCAAUGGAUACUCACAUUAAUUAUGCAUAUAUGAGAAUCAGAAUAUGUAUAGUGAAUGAUCAGAAUGAGUGAAUGCGUACUUGGACUGCAAACAACAACGCGCUAUCAUGGAAUGAGGUUAGUGAAUAAACGCAAAAUGAUUAUAUGUAUAUCAAGGAACAGAAUAAAUCGAUCACACAUGACAAAUGAAUCGAUCAAUCAGUCAAUCAAUCAUGAAAUCUCAUAUGUGGGGCCCCCACCAAAGCCCAUUCUAUUUUGCACGAAUUAGUUUCACAAAUUCCAUUAUUCUGAAAUUAUGAAAAUAGCAUUCAUGCUUAUAUAAAAUCAAGAGAAAUCGAAGAUUAUUUGAAACCCGAAGAGAAUUAAAACUGUUAGAGAGAAAAUUGGAUUUUUGAGAUUUAUUUGAAAAUUGGAGUAUUGGGAAUUAAAUUUAAGACUUGGAAUUUUAGGAUGUCAAACUUGAAAGAAAUUAGAAUUUUAGAAAUCGGAAAUUAAGUUCGGAAAUUGGGAUUCAAAAAAAAUGUUUAAAAAUGAAAUUUUGAAAUAAAUAAAUGGAAUAAUAAUAAUAAGGACGAAAAUAAUGAUUAAAUAAAUGAAUGGGAAUAUGGGAAUUUUCGGGUUUAGGAAUUUAAUUCGGAAAUCAGCGGUUUUAAAGAAUUUGAUUUAAAAUGGAGUUUUGAAAUAAAUAAAUAAAUAAAAUACUAAUGAUCAAAUAAUUUAGUGGGAAUAGGGAUUAGGAAUUUAACUCGGUAAUAAGAAGUUUUAAAGGAUUGAUUUAAAUUGAAUUUUUAAAAUAAAUAACUAAAAUACUAAUGAUUAAAUAAAUUAAUGGGAAUACGGGAAUUUUCGGGAUUAGGAAUUUAACUCGGAAAUCAGAAGUUUUAAAGAAUUGAUUUAAAUUGGAGUUUUAAAAUAAAUAAAUAAAAUAUUGAUGAUUAAAUAAAUUAAUGGGAAUACGUGAAUUUUCGAGAUUAAGAAUUUAGAAAUUAAAAUCGGAAGUCGGAAAUUUUAAUGAAUUGUUUAAAAUGGAAUUUUAGAAUAAAUAAAUAAGAUAAUAAUAAUUAAAUAAAUUAAUGUGAAUAUUGGAAUUUUUGGAAUUUAGAAAUUAAAAUCGGAAGUGGGAAAUUUUAAAGAAUUGUUUAAAAUAGAAUUUUAAAAUAAAUAAAAUAAAUAUUAGUGAUUAAAUAAAUUAAUGUGAGUAUGAAAAUUUUUAGGAAUUGAAUUUUAAAGAUCGGAAUUUUGAAGUAUUAUUUAAAGGUUGAAUUUUAAAAUAAACAAAUAAAUAAAUCAAUAAAUAAUGAUUAAAUAAAUUGGUGUGAAAAUUAAAUUUUCAAAAAUUGGAAUUAAAAUUUAUUGAGGAAUUAAUGUUUUUAGGAAGAUAAAUCAUGCAAAUUGAAAACAAAAGGGCUAAUUUGAGGUGGAUAUGGGCUUGGAAUGGGCAUGGACUAACUUAAGGUGGGUGAACAAAACAACUUGAAGUGAGCAUGGGCUUGGAAUGAGCGUGGGCCAGCUUAAAAUGAGAGAACAAAACAAACUUGAAGUGAGCAUGGGCUUGGAAUGGACAUGGGCCAACUUAAAAUGAGAGAACAAAACAAAGGGCCUUUCAUCAACACAUACGGGCCUGGGCUCCAACUUAAGCCCACAUCUCCAACUGGGCCAACUUAAGAUGGGUGAGCAAAACAACUUGGAGCUUUUUAUCUUCAUAUACGGGCUGGGCUCCAACUUAAGCCCACAUCUCCAACUGGGCCAAUUUAAGAUGGGUGAGAAAAUCAACUUGGAGCUUUUUAUCUUCACCUACGGGUUGGACUCCAACUUAAGCCCACAACCUUGAAGGCAUAGCCUUUGCUUCUCUUCAAUAUAAGGCCGUGUUUGGGUGAUGAGCGGGUGGAUGAUGAGUAGGGGGAAACUUAGAGAGAGGAAAGCGGGUAGAUAGUGGAGGUUAGUGAGGAGUUGGUAUGCAUGAAGAGCAUGUGGUGUAGAGAGAGGAAAGGUGGUGGGAUGAAGUGGGUAUGCAUGGGAUGAAUGAAGUAUGGUGGGCAUGAGCAUGAAAGAUGAGAGGAUGAGGGCUUGAAAGUGGGUACAUGUUGUGCCAGCAGAAGCUUUGAUGCCAACAAUGUUAGUUCAAGAACACAAAGAUAAUACAAUCACACAUACGGUACACGAGGUUUUAACGUGGUUCGGCCAACCAUACCUACGUACACGGAUGAGAGAGAAUAAUUCCACUAUACAAUAGAGAAUAUUACAGAGGAUAGAACCAGAUACAACUAUUGGGUUCCCGAAACAUCCCAUGUUUCCCCACUCCUUGUAUCCAUACCUUACUACGAGCCCUCUCGCUCCACCAGGUACCUCCCGUUCUUCCUCACAUCUCUAUCCACCUCGUAUAGUCUCUAUAGGCCCAUCUCUAUCUCAUAACUUUUUCCCCUUAUGACCUAGAAUAUUUAUAGAGAUAUUUCCAACAACCUUCCUUAUUCUAUAAGGAAGUCUAAUAUUACAAUAAUAUAUCAACCUAGAAAUAUUCUAUAUAAUAUUCUUUACAAAAAGGAAUCUAUACUAAUUAGGAAUUUGGGACACUUCCUAACAGUACAUACAUGGAACCUUAGGCACGUAGGAAUCAAGCAAAAAACGAAAAAUGGAUAAGUGGGUAUAAGGGGUGGUGGUGAUAUGCAUUGAGUGGUGGAAUUAAAGAAAAUGGGUACCCGGUGUAGCUUAGGGGGAGAAAGGUGGUAGGGAAAGAAUAUGAAGGUAUAGAGAGAGAAGUGGGUAGGGAGGUUAGGUGGUUCUGUUUGCAUGGUUCCCAUGCAUGUGAGUGGAUGAUUUGGAAAAGCUUUUGACAGCCACGUAUGGUGCAAGAGAUGGGCUAUGGGUUGGUAGGUGUGGUCAUGGGUAUGGUGGUGGUGUAGAGAGGGAAACUAUAGUAAUGAGAUGGAAAUAUGAGAAAAUGGAUAUGAAGAGGUAGGCAUGCAGAGAUGGGAAAUGGGUAUGAAAGAAAGGUAUGGGUUAUGGAGAGAGAAAAGGUGGUGAAUCAUGAAAUGGGUUUUAUGAGUGUAUGGGAUGAGAAAAUGGGUGUAUAUAGUUGCUGCAUCAUCCUCAUCCUGAAGCAAUAGAUCCAACUCAAGCCACAGUGACUCACACCAUACAGUGAAGUCAUCCUCAAUGCAUUGAUCAUCAUCCCCAAGACCCACUGAGAUAAUGCGCUUUUCACCCUCAGAGACUGCUGAAAUGUUUGUCUCAGAAUCAACAACUGGAUAAUCAUCAUGUUGUUCCCAUGCAUCCAUCACAACAUUCAAGUCCAUCUAAUAGCCAUUGCCCAAAAGCAGAACGUGAAACAUUGGGAGAUCACAACAUUACAAGUCCAUUGGUGAGAAUGUAUUAUCUAUGACUCCUUGCCCCCAUGAACAGAGAUGAGAAAAUAAUAUGCUCCAGAAACAGAUACGGGAACAGGGGAAGAUGGAGAAACAGAGCACAAAAGAAAAUAGAUAAAUAAAGUAAAACUCAGAGACUUUACUUCAUGGGUUUUUAGUAAGUCCCCUGUUUAGGUGAGAAAAACCAUCCCAAAUGCAACUACGGGCAUCAUCAUAAUAUAAGCAAAACAUACCUAAAUCAACAAUGGCAAAUAGGAAUGCAAGACUUCACCUCAACAAGCUACUAGUGGCCUUUAAUAUCCACCCCAAACAACAUGAUGCUUAGAAGCAUAAUAACAAUCUAAAGAAAAACAAUGAAUCACAAAGAAUGAGAGGAAAACAGUAUACAUACCUGGACUCCUUAAACCAAAAGAACCGAGCUUCGACCCUCUCAAUGAAUUUUUCUCCCUCUUUGUAACCGCUGGCCUCUCCAGAAAGUUCAAACCUCUCGCUUGUUUUUCUCCAAAAAGUCCUCCAGAUAUCUCCUCCUUCUUUCUUUUCUUCUUUUCCUGUUCUGAGUCUUCCUCCGCAAGCCAUGUCCGUAUCCCCAUCCCAUCUAGCCACCCGAGAGCAGCCCACUUCAGAGGAGUCAGAAAAACAGCAAAAAAAUAAUCAUAAAAAAAACUCUCAGCUCCUGGGGGGGCUACACAUACCUAUUUUAUUAAAAUUUUAAAAAGAAAAUUGUAAAAACUUAAAGAUUUGUCCAAAUGGAAUUUACUCAUUUGAUUCUCUUUUUAAGCCUUAUCAAAACAAUGAGAAUGAGAGAGAGAGAGAGAGUAUUUUUUAUUUUUUAUCUACUCGAAAAUGAUUUGUCAUAUAUUAUUAGAUGGUACAAAUUGAAUAAAAAAAAGAUAAGUACAAUUUGUCUUAAUUGAAUAGAUGGAAUGGAUAAACGAUUUUUUUUUUAUUAUUAUUAUUAAUUAACCAUGAUUCUGCCAUGAUUGGUAGUUUGUCUAUUCUUUUCAUAUAAAGUGUAAAUAAGUUUCAAUUUAUCUAAAAUUUAAAUAAAAAUUGAUGUAAAAUAGUAAAAUAUCAUCUAAAUCUUAAAUUUCAAAUUUCAAAAAAAAGUUAAAACCUUGUCAGAUUAUUAAUUUGGAUUGCCUCCUGUUUUAAAUAUAUAAAAACCUUGUUUGAUGGUCAUGAGCGUAAUCAUGCCCCAAAAUGGUUUUAGAGUUAUAUUAUGAAUAUAUUUGGGAAUGAUUUUAGAAAGUGUUUUUAACAUUUUUAACACUUAAAUGAUAAAAAAAUUUAAGUAUUAAAAAUAUCAAAAUUGCUUCCUAAAAUCACUAUCAAACAGUCUUUAAAACACCAUUAUUGUUUUCAUCAUUUUUUCAAUUUUGUUUUCCAAAACUUGUAUACAUAUUUUUAAUAAAUCCAAUUAGAUAAAAGCAUAUGUUUUCAAAUAUUUACAUUGUUUUCAUUAUUUUUACAUUCAAAUACAAGUUUUGAAAGUCGUUCUUUUGGUCUAAUUAAUUGUUCAUGCAUAGCAAGACUAAGUUCCUGUUUGGAUUUGCUUCCAACUAACCCAAUCAGGUUGAACAUUCAAGAGGAAGAAUGAAUUGGGUAUCAGUCAAUUUUUCUACUAGACUAGAUAAUUGAUAAAAUUAAAGAUUAAAAUAAAUGUCACAACAAUUGGAAUAAAAUACAAGUAAAAAAGAAAUAUUCACUCGCUCUAACUUCUUUCUGAGCUUAAAAUAUAUCCAUUAAUCCAAAAAUCCCUUUGACCAACAAUCUUUGAUGAAUGAACACAAAAGCUUCAUAGUUUGAUGAAGAAGCCUUUCUUUCAAACACAACUUAAACAUAAUUCCCAAACAUACAUUUUUUAUCAAAUUGAAAACUUUUGUCUGUAAAACCUAUGGAUUACAGGACAUGAAAAUAUUUAUACAAAUUCAAAGAAAUGCUAUGCACCCGCCUUCAUAAAUGGUGUCAAAGAAGAACACAAAGAAGAAUUGAAAGCCAACAUUUAAUCUCUCUUCUCCCAAUAUUCAGAAUCCAAG
This 55802-nucleotide long non-coding RNA is filed under the name Vitis vinifera (wine grape). Its description in RNAcentral is "long non-coding RNA (VVIN_LNC006366)". The record is from RNAcentral. Lineage: Eukaryota; Viridiplantae; Streptophyta; Magnoliopsida; Vitales; Vitaceae.